Molecule: long non-coding RNA, 51835 nt
Filed under: Citrus maxima (pomelo)
Lineage: Eukaryota; Viridiplantae; Streptophyta; Magnoliopsida; Sapindales; Rutaceae
Description: long non-coding RNA (CMAX_LNC002266)
Rfam family: Plant small nucleolar RNA R71 (bases 8690-8796)
Source: RNAcentral
AGGGGAACGAGCUUUGUUUAUAGCACAAGUGAAACUCCACUUUAUUGAACGAUGGGGUCUCAAAUGGGCUGCCUCUUUGCCACUCUUUUGGUAGUAUCAGUCUCUCUUAGCUACUUGCCGUUAGAAGCCUCCGCAAACAAAUACUACUACACAUCUCCUCCCCCUCCCAAGUACAAGUCUCCACCACCACCCCCGCCACCGGUUCACAAUUCUCCACCACCACCCCCGGUUUACCUGCCCCCGCCACCUCCUCCACCAGUCUACGUGCCUGCUCCGGCACCAACUCCAAUUUUCCCUUCUCCGCCACCUCCUGUCCCCAAGUCCCCACCACCACCUCACCCUUACGUCUAUGCAUCUCCCCCUCCUCCUUACUACUACUAGAAAGCGGCCAUGAAUAGCUCAUGCUUUUAUGGUAAUCUCAUUUAUUUUUAAAACUGUACAUGUAAAGACUAGUAGUUCAGAAUUACAUUAAGCAUUUCAAUUUUAAGCACCGUGUUCUGUUUAAUUGCGUUCCUAUUGAUUAAGUGACAAAUAAAAGAGAUUGAUUAAUUUGUUCUUGUAGGAGAGGCGAAUGGUAUCCGAAUAAAGAAAGCAAGGAUUUGAUGGAAGGCUUACUUGGAGCAAGAUAGCAAUCAAUCGAGUUGCUGCGUUUUAUUCUCUUUUCUCUUUGUUUUUUAAGAAAAAUAAACUGCCACACGUAGAAACAGAAAAUUAAGUUCUUGUCAUUUUCAUGCAUAUGGAUUGUUGCUGUGUGUGUCAAUCAAAUCUCCGUUGUGUCAUUUGUAAUUUUCAACCUUUAUGCAUGCAAAUGCGAGACCUCUUACGUAUAAUAAAAUUAAUAUACUUCCCAAGAUGGUCUUAUCUUGCGUUGACUUUUUACGUUCCUUUGGUGAUGAUUUUGACGUUUGAAAUUGAUGACUAUUGUUUUUGUAAACUCUGACAUGGAUUUUUCGUGCAACUAAAGAGCGCAUUAAUGAGAGGCUUAUCCAUGAGGGUCCAUGCAGAUCAGUGUCUAAUUAACCAAUAAUUAAUAUAACUUAAAAAAUAUAGAGUUAACAAUUUUUAUGGGUUAGGCUCAAUUGCAGAUGUUCGUACAAAAUUUCUUGCUAAUGUAUACUUGAGUAUGAUAAUAAGUUUUAAUCAUUAUUAAUAAUUCACUUGAUAAUAUUAAACAAAUUUUCAUAUCAAUUAAGUUACAAAAUUUCUGUGACAAAUUUCCACGUACUGGAACCAUGCAAAAGGACUUUAUUCAAACAAAGCUGCAUAGCCGUUGGCAAUUAAAAUUAUUUAUCAAUUACGUUAAGUAGUAAGAAUUGGAUUGUGGAUUCCAUUAAUUAUUUCAAGGAAAAUUUUAUAGAUAAUGCCGUAAUGAAAUUUACGGCAUCAAUACCAUGAUAAAUAUAAAUAUUGUAAAUUACAAAGAGAAUUAGUAAAUGUAAAGUAAAACCAGUAAAUUCAUAAAAGAUUAUUAAUUAUUUAAAAAAUUAACAUUGUUUCUACAUAAUUUUAGUGAAAAAUAUUUUAUUCAUUUACAAAAACAUUUCUUUAAUUAAACAAAAAAAAUUCAUUAAUUAAGCAAAAAAAUUAUACUGAAAAAAAAGUGGAAUAAGUUUAAUUGAAUUGGUUAUCAUAAAUUCUAUAUUUAGUCUAGGACAUUUGUAUACAUUUUUUUUUCCCAUUUUCGAUAAUGAUAUCUAUUUGUUACACAUGUUAAUUAAGUGCAAUUAUUUAUCUUGAUGUGGACCAAGUAAAAAAAAAAAAAAAAAAGAGAUAUCAAUAAAAUUAGAUCUAAUUUUGAAUAUUAUGUAUACUUUAUGUAGUUUCAAACUUUUUACUUGUAUUUGGAGACCAUUUAAGGUUGUUGUUGAAGAAGUGUAGAAAGAUGUAAAAUAACUUCAUCUUACAAUAACUAUGAAAGAUAUUAAAAUAAUAUUUUUUUCAAAAUCCGAUUUUGAGAAAAAAUUUCAUCCUUAAUUAAACAUCACAUGUAUUAUAGAAAUGCAAAACUACCAUUGUUAUAUUUAAAUUAAAAAAUAAUAAAUAUAUAAGGUAAUAAACAUUAUAACGAGUUUUUAUUUUAAAAUUGUAAACUUUUGUUUCUGACAAUAACUCUUAUAUUAAUUAAUUUAUUUUGCAUUUUAUUCAUAAGUUUUAUGCAUAAUCUACAAACUUUAUGUUUUAUUUUGCAUUUAAUGUUGAUUUGGUUUUUUUAUAUUAUACGUAUAAGUUUUCAUUUUAUUUACCAGUAAUACAUCAAUUUAUCAGUUUUAUUGUAAUUUACUUAUUUUACCUUCCUUUUACAAUUCUUAUGUUUCAUUUUCAAAAUUUAUGUUUUAUUUUACAGUUGUUGAUGAUUUACUAGUUUUAUGUUAUGUUUGCAAGUUUUUGUUUUGUUUACUAGUAAUAGAUUAAUGGGUAAUUUUUAAUUGAGUCCUCAUUAGUUCUAGAAAAAAAAUUCAGAGACCAGAAGUUUACUAAAUGAAUCAAUUAAAUUCUUUCAAGUACAAACUAAUGUCAUUCAAGUCCUUAACUUAAUUGCUCAGUUAAAAAUAUUAACAACAUUGAGGACAUUUUAGUAAAACAACAAUUGAGUCGUUUCUCAUUCUUUAUUUUUGACAGGUGGAAAUAGUUUAAAGUUAACUCAAUUAACCUGAUUAAGUUAAGGAUCAGUUCUUUCAAAAGAAAAAAAAAAAAAGACCUACAGAAACUGCCAUAUUCUUCGUGUGAGAGGAGAGAUCGAGAGAACGUGGGAUGGUGCAAAAAAUGUUGUAUAAAACUACUGUGAUUUUGACCAAAGCUUUGGUAGCAUUGAUUGAGUUCAAGUACUGGAGAGAACCUAAGUUUAAAGGUUAGUAACUCUAUUUUUUUAGUGAUUUCUGCAAGCAUUUUCUGAUAAAAAAUUUUCCAUAUUGAGUGAUCGUUGUGAAAAAUUAAGUUUUUCAAGUCUAUUUUUCAAAAUGACAAACUAUGUUUAAUUAUUGGUGGAUUCUUUUUUUUUGUUCAAUGUUGUAUUUUGUUAAUUUGUUGUUUUUAAUUUGCUCUUUAUGUAAUUGUUAGACCAAAUACACCAUUAUUAUACUUGUAUUCAUUUCAACAAUUUGGUAUCAUUAUAUUAAUAAGAUUGAAUUCAUUGUAUUUGCUUCUUUGUUCAUGUAAAAUUGAAUUCUAUGUAUUCUUAUGAGUGAUAAUUUUUCUAUCUAUUAGACUAAAUUCACUAUAUUCACUACUUUCUUUCUUUUUGCUGGGCUAUUUUUUUCUUUUUAGUUUAUAUUUUUUAUAUGUAUUAGAUUGAAUUUGCUUUUGUAUGUUUUUUUCGCCAAAUUGCAUGUAUAUUUCAUUUAGGUUGAGUUUUUUUUGUUGUUUGCUAAAUAAAAUUAUAUUGGUUUAUCCUUUUUUGAUGCAAUACUUUUGUUUAAAAUUAAUACAGGUAGCCAUGUUACCUUUUUUUCGGUUAAAAUUAAUGGGGUGAUGUAUGCGAUAGGAUAUAGGGAACCAGAGGAAUAUAAGAUUAUUAGGCUGUUUCUUGAAAUUCAAGAUGUCAUGGUUAAGCAUGGACACAUUGAAAUGGAUUUGAUUGAAAUUUUUGUUGUAUUGCCAUGGACUACAAGUAGGCAGAGGAAGCUAAUUUCAAACGAUAGUGAAUUGUAUUGGGUUUUCGAGGUGUUUUUUUUAUCAAUAGUUGUCCUGUCAUUGAGUUUGAGGUGCACACUGGGUCAGGUGGUCAGUUAUUUCAUGAAAGUGUUGUAAUAGGACCUGAAAAUCCUGUCAAUAUUAAAAAUUAGCGUUGUAAUAGUGAUAAGUUUGAAAAUCCUGUGGCUAAAAAGGGUUUGCCUAGAAUAAUUGGUUCUUCUUUAUUUGCCUCAAAGUCCAACACUAUGAAAUCCACUAGGAAAAAGAAUUUAUCCACUUUAACCAGCACGUCUUCAAUCUUACCUUCAGGAUAAGCAUGAGAUCUGGCAGCACAUUGCAAUGUCACUGUGGCUGGUCUGACUUCUCCAACUCCCAAUUGCUUGAAUUCUAAUAAUGUCAUAAGAUUGAUGCUUGGUCCCAAAUAGGGAUGACAAUUGUACCCGCAAACCCGCCCAAACCCACCUGCCAAAACCCGCCCAUUGCGGGUAAUUUUACCCAUUGCGGGCGGGUUUAGUAUUAUAAAUUAAAACCCGCGCAUGGAUGUGGGUGGGUUUAGUAUUAACCUUAUAUCCGGUGGAUACCCGCAUGGAUAUCCAUCAAACCCGCAAUAUUUUUUUUCAAAUAUUUUUAAUUUAAUUUAAAUAUAAAAAUGUAUAAAGAAAAUAAUGUCAUUAAUCAAAUUACCAAAUAGACAAAGGCUCAAAGUUGUGUAUGUGUGUAUGUGGCCCAUCUCUUAUUCUAAAGUCAUAACCUAAAGAAAACUAAAGGCAUUUCCCUUCGAAUUAGUAUUUAAAAAUAUUAAUCUUAAUUAUUAUUAUAGGCAUUGUGUUGGAUGGGUGCUUAUGGUGGUGAAUGAAAUGAAUAUCUUCUCUUGGAUCUUGUUUUAAAUGAUAAUAUGAAAUGUAAUUAUUAUUUUUAGAUACUAGUUUGUGUUUUUAAAAUAGAUUUGUGUAAUUUAUACUUAAAUUUGAGAAUUUGUAUUGAAUUGAUGUGGAAAUUUUAAUUUUUCAUUGACAUUGUUUAAAUAUAAAAUUGAGUAUGCUAUUUGGAAUUUGAGGUUAUUAUUAUAAAUUUAUAUAUUAAAUAUUUGUGAUUUUAAAUACGAAAACCCGCAAAAAUUCCGCCGGAUACUAUUGCGGGUUUGGUAAUUAUUAAAACCCGCUGCGGGUGGGUUUUUAAAAAAAAAUUAAAACCCGCGGCGGGUUGCGGGUGGGUUUAGUAAUUUAAAUUUUGUGCGGGUUUGGGUUUGAUAAUGGCAAAUCCGCUGCGGGCGGUGCCCAUUGCUAUCCCUAGUCCCAAAUCACAAAGUGUCUUGCCACUGUAUUUAGUUCCUAUGGAACAACGAAUUGUGAAACUUCCUGGAUCAUUCAACUUUUGAGGCAUUUUACUCUGAAGCAUAUGGCUGAAUUCUUGUGUUAGACCAACUAUUUCAACUAUUUCAAAUUAUUUGCCUCAAAGUCCAACACUAUGAAAUCCACUAGGAAAAAGAAUUUAUCCACUUUAACCAGCACGUCUUCAAUCUUACCUUCAGGAUAAGCAUGAGAUCUGGCAGCACAUUGCAAUGUCACUGUGGCUGGUCUGACUUCUCCAACUCCCAAUUGCUUGAAUUCUAAUAAUGUCAUAAGAUUGAUGCUUGGUCCCAAAUAGGGAUGACAAUUGUACCCGCAAACCCGCCCAAACCCACCUGCCAAAACCCGCCCAUUGCGGGUAAUUUUACCCAUUGCGGGCGGGUUUAGUAUUAUAAAUUAAAACCCGCGCAUGGAUGUGGGUGGGUUUAGUAUUAACCUUAUAUCCGGUGGAUACCCGCAUGGAUAUCCAUCAAACCCGCAAUAUUUUUUUUCAAAUAUUUUUAAUUUAAUUUAAAUAUAAAAAUGUAUAAAGAAAAUAAUGUCAUUAAUCAAAUUACCAAAUAGACAAAGGCUCAAAGUUGUGUAUGUGUGUAUGUGGCCCAUCUCUUAUUCUAAAGUCAUAACCUAAAGAAAACUAAAGGCAUUUCCCUUCGAAUUAGUAUUUAAAAAUAUUAAUCUUAAUUAUUAUUAUAGGCAUUGUGUUGGAUGGGUGCUUAUGGUGGUGAAUGAAAUGAAUAUCUUCUCUUGGAUCUUGUUUUAAAUGAUAAUAUGAAAUGUAAUUAUUAUUUUUAGAUACUAGUUUGUGUUUUUAAAAUAGAUUUGUGUAAUUUAUACUUAAAUUUGAGAAUUUGUAUUGAAUUGAUGUGGAAAUUUUAAUUUUUCAUUGACAUUGUUUAAAUAUAAAAUUGAGUAUGCUAUUUGGAAUUUGAGGUUAUUAUUAUAAAUUUAUAUAUUAAAUAUUUGUGAUUUUAAAUACGAAAACCCGCAAAAAUUCCGCCGGAUACUAUUGCGGGUUUGGUAAUUAUUAAAACCCGCUGCGGGUGGGUUUUUAAAAAAAAAUUAAAACCCGCGGCGGGUUGCGGGUGGGUUUAGUAAUUUAAAUUUUGUGCGGGUUUGGGUUUGAUAAUGGCAAAUCCGCUGCGGGCGGUGCCCAUUGCUAUCCCUAGUCCCAAAUCACAAAGUGUCUUGCCACUGUAUUUAGUUCCUAUGGAACAACGAAUUGUGAAACUUCCUGGAUCAUUCAACUUUUGAGGCAUUUUACUCUGAAGCAUAUGGCUGAAUUCUUGUGUUAGACCAACUAUUUCAACUAUUUCAAAUUAUUUGCCUCAAAGUCCAACACUAUGAAAUCCACUAGGAAAAAGAAUUUAUCCACUUUAACCAGCACGUCUUCAAUCUUACCUUCAGGAUAAGCAUGAGAUCUGGCAGCACAUUGCAAUGUCACUGUGGCUGGUCUGACUUCUCCAACUCCCAAUUGCUUGAAUUCUAAUAAUGUCAUAAGAUUGAUGCUUGGUCCCAAAUAGGGAUGACAAUUGUACCCGCAAACCCGCCCAAACCCACCUGCUAAAACCCGCCCGUUGCGGGUAAUUUUACCCAUUGCGGGCGGGUUUAGUAUUAUAAAUUAAAACCCGCGCAUGGAUGUGGGUGGGUUUGGUAUUAACCUUAUAUCCGGUGGAUACCCGCAUGGAUAUCCACCAAACCCGCAAUAUUUUUUUUCAAAUAUUUUUAAUUUAAUUUAAAUAUAAAAAUGUAUAAAGAAAAUAAUGUCAUUAAUCAAAUUACCAAAUAGACAAAGGCUCAAAGUUGUGUAUGUGUGUAUGUGGCCCAUCUCUUAUUCUAAAGUCAUAACCUAAAGAAAACUAAAGGCAUUUCCCUUCGAAUUAGUAUUUGAAAAUAUUAAUCUUAAUUAUUAUUAUAGGCAUUGUGUUGGAUGGGUGCUUAUGGUGGUGAAUGAAAUGAAUAUCUUCUCUUGGAUCUUGUUUUAAAUGAUAAUAUGAAAUGUAAUUAUUAUUUUUAGAUACUAGUUUGUGUUUUUAAAAUAGAUUUGUGUAAUUUAUACUUACUUUUGAGAAUUUGUAUUGAAUUGAUGUGGAAAUUUUAAUUUUUCAUUGACAUUGUUUAAAUAUAAAAUUGAGUAUGCUAUUUGGAAUUUGAGGUUAUUAUUAUAAAUUUAUAUAUUAAAUAUUUGUGAUUUUAAAUACGAAAACCCGCAAAAAAUCCGCCGGAUACUAUUGCGGGUUUGGUAAUUAUUAAAACCCGCUGCGGGUGGGUUUUUAAAAAAAAAUUAAAACCCGCGGCGGGUUGCGGGUGGGUUUGGUAAUUUAAAUUUUGUGCGGGUUUGGGUUUGAUAAUGGCAAAUCCGCUGCGGGCGGUGCCCAUUGCCAUCCCUAGUCCCAAAUCACAAAGUGUCUUGCCACUGUAUUUAGUUCCUAUGGAACAACGAAUUGUGAAACUUCCUGGAUCAUUCAACUUCUGAGGCAUUUUACUCUGAAGCAUAUGGCUGAAUUCUUGUGUUAGACCAACUAUUUCAAAUUCUCCGAGCCUCAUUUUCCUUGCCAAUAUACAUUUCCAAAACUUUACAUAAUUUGGCAUUUGUUCUAAUGCUUCUACAAAAGGAAUGUUGAUAUGCAGUUAUUUCAAUACUUCCAAGAAUUUACUGAACUGCUUGUCUUGCUUUCGCUUUUGAAAUCUUUGUGGGAAGGAUGGUGGAUGUGUAAAUUGUUGUACUGCAGCAGACUAUACAUAUUGCUUUUCUCUUGCUCUAUUAUGGUAUGAUAUUGUUGGUGCUGCAGCUUCUUCCUCAACAAGCACUGAAUCAUGUUUUUUUUGCAGUUGCUAUAACUUAGCAACUCUCACCAGUGUGCUGGAAAAUGGGUUGUUGUGUCUCUUCUUUAAUUUGAGUUUCCCCUUGGGUUGAAUUAGGUUCCACUCUUCUUUUUAGUACUUUAACAAGUAUAUGAACAUCCUUUCCAGACCUUAAGUUAAUCCCCUUACAAUGCUCUUUUCCUUCCCUCUUUCGAUCCUCUGUAUUGUUUAGUAAAUUGUCCUGAGGUAUGUUGCUCAAUGUUGUAGCAAGCUGUCCAAUCUUAUUCUCCAAGUUUCUUAAAAAUACAGCUUGGCUUUAGACCACUACUUCAAUCUUCACAAUAUACUCCUUAAUCAGAGUUUCAAUGGAACUAAAUUGAUCAUUACUGGUGUUUCUUUACCCUUAAAAUUUCUGGUGAAAAUCAGGUGGUUGAGCAAGUCAGUUCUGUCCACUGGAUGCUGCAGCAUGCUGAUUCUGAUUGCUCCUUUUAAAAUUUGGGUGAUGUCUCCAUCCUAGGUUAUAGGUGUUUGAAAAUGGAUUGCUUUGAUUUUGUUUAUUAAAAUUGCCCACAUAAUUGACGGAAACUGAAUUCCUAGGACAAUUAUCAUAUAGAUGUCCCUCUCCAUAAUAAACACAAGAGACUUCAGCAAUUUGGUUAACUGUUGUUGGAGCAGUGGCCGUUGCUUUUACCAUAUUUGUCAAUGAGGUUACUUGGGCUGAUAAUGUUGUCAGUGCAUCCACAUUGUGUACUCCUGCUGCUCCUCUCACUAUGGCUUGUCUAGUUGAUGGCCAUUGAUAGUUAUCCUUUCCAAAAUUUCAUAAGCCUCAUUAUAUGAGUUAAACAAUAAAGCCCCUAGUUAUUGAGUUCAACCCAUUGUAGAAAGUUUCCAAUUGUAUGCAAUAAGGAAUACCAUGAUGAGGGCAUCUCCUGAGUAACUCCUUGAAUCUUUCUCAUGCAUCAUACAAGCUUUCAUCUUCAAGUUGAUGGAAAGAUGUGAUCUCAUUCUUCAACUUUGCAUUCUUUGUUGGUGGGAAAUAUUUCAUCAAAAUUUUGUCAGCCAAAUAAUUCCAUGUGGUGAUGGAGUCUGGUUGCAAAGAACUCCACUGUACCAACUAAAAUUGAUUUCACAAAACACAAUAAGCACCAAUCCCUGGCAACGGCGCAAAAAACUUGUUGUCGAUUUUCUAAUGUUAUUAGUGUCAAUGUGAAAAUGUACACAACAAGUAAUAUAACGAUAAGUAUUCACUCCACAAGGAUUAUUAUUAUAGGAAUUGCUACAGUAAUUCUAUCAGUGCCAUUCUUAUUAUAAAUUAGAAUUUAAACAAAUUAUUCAACUAAUGAACUAAGGCAGAUCUUAUUGGGCUAGUCGGCAAUGUGUUGCUUUAGGUCAUGUGGAAUAGUUGCGGGAGUGAUCUUGCAUGAUGUGUGGAGCUAUAACAGUGCUGAGCAUGGGCCAAUCUAUGGGCUUAUGGAACUAGCGAACCUAAUCUAGAAUUUCGAGGAAGAGUACUCUGGUUAGUACUCUAAAUUACCUUAUUAUAUUUUGCACAAACAGAGGCAUGUUAGUGAAAUAAUAUCUAAGCAACCCAAGAGGGGGGUGAAUUGGGUUUCUAAAAAUUAUGCAAUUCUUAAACAAAACUUAAUGCAAAUCUUAAACGAAUUUAAAGUAAUAAUAAAUAAAUCAACCAAAGUAUAAAAAGAUAAGGGAAGAUAGAUUAAAAAACAGAGAGUUUUACGUGGUUCGGCCAACCUUGCCUACAUCCACGCCCCCAAGCACACCGAGCUUGGGCAUUCCACUAGUCAAGCCUUCAAGGCUUCAAGAACACUUACAAUUGACUUCUUAGGUGUCAAUCAACCUUUACAUCUAGAGAUUAUCCUCAAUCUCUUAACCCAAGUGUAUCCCAACAUUUACAAUCACUCAAAAUAAAGAUUACAAAUUUAUUUUUCUCUCACACAAUUUUUUAAGAUUACAAAUCAACGCUUAAUGUGUGAAUAAAUGAACAAGAAUGAAUUUGAAGCUCAAUGAAUGUUGUAUUCUCGAUUAUAAGCUCAAUGAUAACGUUGUGAUAAGCUCUUGUUUGAAUUUGAUUGAGCUUAUUUAUAGUUAGAGUUGAAAAAUAGCCAUUGUUGACUUUUUCCCGAAAUUGGAUCGCCGUUAACCGUUAUCGGUUAACCGUUUUGACUGGUCCAAGUGACCGUUGAGCUGAAUUUCAAAUAAACGGUUGAUCUUUUGACACUAUCGGUUUGCUAUUAAUUUCCAUAAACCUGUAAAACAAAUUUAUGCUAUCCGUUCUUGCUAAACGGUUGAAGGUCAGCAUGGAAUAACAUUCUAGAAAUUAUUGGUUGGCCGUUUGAAGUUCACGGUUCACCGUUUACUUCUAGAAUCACAGUUUUAACCAAAUUUCGCAGGGAAUGCUUUUUCGGUUAAAGUUAACGAUUAUCCAUAUUUCAUGAACACAUUUAGAAAAAUCAUACGACUUUUGAGAAAUUGUUUAGUAAUGAAAACUCUAACAUUUUAAUCAAAUACAUUUAAAGUUUGUUAUCAUCAAAAUCAAUAUAAUGAACAUCUACAUGUUAACAGUUAGGCCUUGAUUAUUUUUUAAAUCUUAUAAGAUAUAUUGUGAUAAUAGUAACUCAAUUUUCAUAAAACGUGGAAAGAUCAGUCGCCAAAUUUAUAGAUGCCAUAGAAAAUCUAGAUUUUAGUAAGGAAUAUCAAGUUAUUUAUACAAUGAAAAUUGUUAAAACUCGAUUAAUUGCAAGGAAACACUUUUAGAGAGAUAUGGAGAGAAUAAACUUUGAAGAUAACAAUGAAAUACAUGACACAUUUAAGGAAGAAAAUAUAAUAGUAUUAAUAGAAUCUAUUUUAACCGGUCUUAAGAUCAUUCAAGAUUGAUGCAAAAUAAAUAACAGGACUCUAAACCGUCCAUAAUAAGUCUAUUGAUUAAUAAUAACAAUAAUAGUGAUGUGAAAUUUUUUAUUCAGAAUGCUCAAUUUAGAUUAUAAUAUCUAUGUGAAAGCAUUGAUGGCAUGUACCUUGGUUAGGAAAAUAGAUUGGACACAUGGAUAUAUAUGUUGGAAGAACAAAUCUAGUUUAUAUCUCAAGAGAGAUAAUAAAUUAUAAAUGACGGUGCUAUAGUAUAUUCAGAUUUUAUAAAUCUUUAUAAAUUUAAUAAUCAUUUAGAUCUUCAUAAUAUUAUAAUAAAACUUUAAAAAUAUAUGUAGAAGAGAUGGAAGAAGAAAUCAUCCAGUUAUUCAAAAUCAAUUAAACAAAAAUAGAAGGUAAAAUCCUUGAAUUAUAUAAAUUAUACAAUUUCACAGAAAUUUUGCAUAUAUUGUGAAACGGUCCUUGUGGCACUAAUUAUGGGACUAGUGUAGCAUAAAUACUAAUAUUGCUUUUUAUUUUGUAAAUUAAUUGUUGCGUCAUAAUGUUUUUACAUGCACAUUUUUUGUUUUAAAAUAUGAAUUUUUUUUUUUGUAUUUAGGGUUAAUUUUACAAUUUCAUACUUUGUUCAAUUAUAUGUACAGGUCCUUAACGUGUUGGUUGAUGUUGAAUAUUCAAAGAUCCACAAGCUAUCAACGACAACGAAUCAAAUUAAACUAAUUAGUUAAUACAUAAUGACUGGGUUGUUUCCUAUGUUGUUAAUGAUGUAGGACGUUAUUUUAGGAUUUUAGAAUUUUAAUUUUUAGGUCUUCUGAUAUUUUCUUUUUUAAUUAAAGUCAGUGUCUUAGUUUUUUAUUUAUUUAUGUUAUAAUUAUAAUUUACUUUCUCUUUUUAAGUUAACUUAGGAAAAUAUAUUUACUGUAUUAUAAAUAAAGAGACCUUGUUAUUACUUUAUAACUUCAACUUCAGUUAUUCAAUUAAAAACCCCUCUUUUAUAAUUUCCUUUUGUAUUAUCUAUUAAAAACCCCUCUUUUAAAGUUGUUUGAUUAGAGCAUCAUCUAGCCUUGCUUAACGCAGUAUUAAAAAUCCCUUUGAGUUUAAUCACACUUCGAUUAGAGCGUAACUUAAUCGCAUUGACUUGGUCCAGUACUUGAACGAUAUCUAGUGUUUUGCUUCCGCUAUGCCCAAGGAGAAAAUUAAUUUCACCGUGAGAUAAGAGCAUUAAAAGGAAUUCAUAAGAAAUUGGGAAAAUAUCCACCGUCCACCUGAUUUUGUCCACUUUUUUAAAAAUACACAAAUCUUAAUUUUUUUUGCUGCGCUACACCUAAACUUAUUUUUUUUUUCACAUUUCCACCUCCGUUUGCAAACCGUCAAAACGUUGCUGACGUCAUAAGGAUAAAAUAAUAAUUUCACUUGGGCUUCAAAAACAACUUCGUUUAAGAUCUGUAAUUUAACCUUUUCGUUUGAUUCUGGAGUAAGGUUGGCCCUACAAACCGGGCAUGUCACGUGAGAGGCUAAGUAGAGUGGGCUCUGACCGAAAAACUAAAUUUUUAUCUAUUUUGUGUAAAUUUACUGAUUAACCACCUCGAAUUCAAUAAUAUUUGUUUCAACCCAAUUAAAUAAUAUUAUAACCCCUGCCGACCCAUAAAAUCAUGGUUCCACGCACUAUAACCAUAUAAAAGGGCUUUAUUAAAACAAAACUGCAAUUAAGAUCAUUUAUCAAUUAAAUUAAGUAGUAAUUAAGACUUUGAUGGUGGAUUCUAUUAAUUGUUUCAAAGGAGUGUCGGAUUUGUCUUCUUUCUAUUGUUUUUUCAACUUUCAGAUAACAAAUUAACAUUAACACAUACCUAGCUAAAAAAGGAAACAAGUGAAGUAAUAUAAUGUCAACUAGGAAUAGGUCUAGUGCUUUAACCAACACCUUCAGAUACCUUAAUUUGAUUUUUUAAAAAUCAAAACAAAUUAAUGAAUUAAAACAUUAUAAUACUCCAAAUGUACUUAUGAAGUAACUUAAUUUAUUAUCGAUAAAAAAAAAAUUUAAUAACAUAUUAAUAUUAUUUAGUUCUUCAUGGUCAGUCUUUUUCUAAUGUGAAAUUUUGACAUUCACAAGAAAUUAUAGAAUACAUCAGAGAUAUCGUGUCAAUCAUACAACAAAUAAUUGAUGUUAUAAUAUAUGUGCAUUUAUUUUAACAAAUUACCAUGCAAGUAAUUGUUAUAUUAAAUUCAAUUAUUCAUAUUAUACAUACAUUAGUUAGUUGUAUUACCUUUAAUGAAUAAAGUUUUGAGAAGUGUGCUCAAAUCUUUUCGACCAUGAGGUCAUUACCAUUAGAGGUAUGUCUUGUUACAUCAAUAAAAGUCAUCACUUUCCUUUUGGUAAAUCAUCCAUUAAGAGUUCCAGACCAUUAGAGAUUAUAUAUUCUAAUGUAUGGGGUCCUGCUCUUAUUACUUCCAUUGAUGGUUUUAGAUAAUACAUUAUUUUUAUUAACCAUAUUACUAAAUAUGUCUGGCUCUAUCCUUUACGUAUUAAAUCAUAUGUUUUCUCAACAUUUAAUUCAAUAUAAAAAUGUAGUUGAAAAAUUUUUUCACACUAAGAUUGCUUCAGUAUAUACUGAUGGUGGUGGUGAAUUUAUUAAAUUAAAACAAUUUUUCAAUCAAACAGGAAUCUCUCAGUUACUCACACCACCAUAUACAUCUCGACUAAUCAUGAUCUUUCCGUUGUUUGGAUUGUAAAGCUUGUAUCCUUUGGAGUUGUUGUCAUAGCCGAUUCAGAUGAACUUCUCACUUUUGUCAUCCAGCUUAGCUCUUCUUUCGUCUGGUAUAUGUACAUGGGCAAUGCUUCCAAAACUCUUAGAUGGGUGAUGCCGGGCUUUCUUUCACUCUAAGCUUCUUGUGGCGUCUUGCCCCACACACUUCUUGUUGGAGAUUGAUUGGAUAAGUAGACUGCACAUGCAACAACUUCAGCCCAAAAUUCUUUAGGUAGCCUCUUACUCUUGAGCAUGCUUCUUGCAAUGUCGAGGAUGGUUCUGUUAUUCCUUUCCUCAACACCAUUUUGUUAGGGGGAUCUUGGAACUGUCCAAGGGCGUCAAAUUCCAUUUAUUUUAAAAAACUCUACAAAUUCUUUGGAAGUGAACUCUCCACCUCAAUUAUAUCUCAUGGCUUUAAUCUGGUAUCCACUUUCUUUUUCAACUACUGCUUUAAAAUUUUUGAAAGCUUUAAAAACUUUUGAUUUAAAAAAAAAAACACCUAAGUUUUCCUGAAAAAUCAUCUAUGAAGAGAAGGAAGUAGUUACUUUUACCAAGGGAGCUUGGCUUGAAUGGACCGCACACAUCAGUAUAAAUGAGCUCAAGUGGCUUCUGAGCUCUUGAGUUUGACUCCUUUGGAAAGCUCUUUCUGAACUGCUUGCUAAGUAAACAUCCUUCACAAAGUUAUUUGGUGGCUACCAUCUUUUGCACAAAAAAGAAUGUUACCUCUACCCUUUACUGGUACUUUUGAAUCAUCUCCAAAAGAGACACUGCCAUUUACAGAUUCAUUUAGUUCCACGAACAUGCUUCUGUUUCCGCUCAUAUGAUUGCUAGCACCUGUGUCAAGAUACCAUGUAUUUUCUUGACCUCCACUUGUGUCAUUGCGUGCUAGUAAAAGGGUUUCAUCUUCACCAUUUUUCUCUUCAACACAAUUCACUCUCUCAUCAAUUCUGGUAGUUGCAGCUCUACAUUCUGAAGCAUAAUGCCCAAACUUUUGACAAUUAUAGAAUUAUACUUGAGAUUUGUCAUACCUCGAUCUUGGAUUGCCUUUUCAUCGUCCUCUGGUUGAGCUUUCUCCUUCGGCAUAAUUGGAGUUGUUGUUCUUGAAAUUCCAACCUCAUCCAUGACCACGACCUCUACCUCGUCCUCGACCUCUACCUCGGACAUAAUGCCUUCUCUCAUUGUCGGAGCUUUCUUCUAUUUUCUUUGGAUUGACUUCUAUAUUGAGAAGUUGUUCUUUGAUUCCUUACUUCUUUUCCAGUUUUUCUUCAUAAGCUUGCAACCUUCCUUAAAAUUGCUUGAUCGUCAUAUCUUACAGAUUUUUUGUUUCCUCAAUUGUCACAAUAAUAUGGUCAAACUUCGAGUUUACUGAUCGAAGUAUCUUUUCAAUGAUCCUUACCUCUUUUAACUCCUCGCCAUUUCUUUUUAAUUUAGAGGAAACGGUCAUAACCUGAGUAAAGUAGUAAAAAAUUGACUAUAAUGCCUUCAUGUGUAAAGACUCAAAUUUUCCUCGUAAUGUUUAGAGAUGAACCUUCUUAACUUGGUCCACUUCUUUAUAAGAGAUCUCUAACUUCUCUUAUGCUUCUUUUUAAGAGAUUGCACUUGCAAUCUAUCUUCAUCUAAUGAUUGAAAGAUGAGAUACUUUGUUUUAUUCUCUUUCUUCUUCAAGUUUUUUAAAUUCUCCUUCUGUGCUGCAGUUAAAGUGGCUUCAUUUUCUGGCAGAAUAAAGUCUUUUUUCAUGACAUCUCAUACAUCAUGUGCACCCAAUAGAGCCUUCAUUUUAAUACUCCAGUUGUCAAACUUACUCCCCUUUAAUUGUGGAACUUAAAAUGACAUCAUACCACUAUUUGCCAUAACUCACAAAUUGACUGAGAAUUUGGAGAUUCUGAGUGGAUGGAUGGAACCGGCACGUCGAAAAACCUUGGAAGGGACUCAAGUCAACUUUCAGUCAAUGGUCAACACCGAUCAACGAUCUACGUCAGUCAACGGUCAACGUCGGCUUAGUUGACUUGGUUCGGUCCGGCUUGGUUCGGUUCGAGUUGGCUUGGUUUGACUUGAUUCGGUUCGGCUCAGCUCGACUUGGUUCGGUUUGGUUUAGCUUAGUUCAACUCGUUGAGUCGACUCAGCUUCAGAACAGAAAACUUCCGGUGGCUAGUACAGGUGCAUCUGAUCUCUUAUCGGGCUGAGUUUUAUGGCGUCGCGUUCCUCUUGUCGAGAUAUUCGAUUUGAUAUGUUAUAUGACUAUAUAUAACAUUGAUCACUAGCUCUGAUACUACUUUGUUGGAGAAUCAACAAAUUAAACACUAAAAAAACACUCUAUUUUAUUUCUUCAACAACACUCCUCAACUACAACUCUUAUUUUUCACUCUCUACAACUUAGAGAUUUUGUUACUUCACUUGAUGCAUAACCAAAUGACACAAGGGGGUAUUUAUAGUAUAUGAGAAGAAAUCUAAACUAUUCAAAUAAGAAAUUACAAAAAAUUAAUAACCAUUCAUCUUCACCUACUAAACCUACCACACCUAAAAUAAAUAAUUCAAACCUCACCAACCAUACCUACUCAUGGAACCUUCCAUGGGUUGGGCUUAUUAAUUUGUUUUUGAAUUUUUUUUUUAUCUUGGAUCAAGUCUAUGAUCCAACAAAAUUAACCACAAUAGUUUAUGGAAAACAAAUAAAUAAAAUUACACUAUCACAAAAUUUAGGUUGCAUGUGUAGUGCUAUAAAUGCACACCUGUUAGAGUAUUAUAAAAAAAUAAAGCAUCGCUUAGUUUGGCAUUAGAUUCAAAUACAUGUGCAUAAAUCUUUGUGUUUUUAUACAAAUUAAUAAAAGCACUCUGGUUGAAGUUGAAAGAAAUUUAGAUUUAUUGCAAAUAGAUGUAGGCAAUCAAAAAAACUAGAAUUAACAACUUAAUUAAUUUUCGUAAAUAUUGGUCAUCGUUACUGUUUACCGUUACUGUUCUUUGGCAUUGUUCAUGGUUACUGUUCAUCCGCAUCACGAAUAUAAGUUUCCAAAAACACAAUAAAUUGCAGAAAUUAAAUGACGCGGAGAUUUUUACGUGGUUCAGAUUAAUCAAUCCUACAUCCAUGGGGUUACGCCCAAGUGAAAAGUAAUUCAUUAAGUUGAGAUGUUAUAACCUAUGGAUUUAUCAAACUUAAAACUCUCAUUUACAGUUUAUCACCAUACAAUUUACUCAACCUUAGAGUGAAUAUGCUUCUCUUGAAUAAUUACUACCCCUCUUGAUCCACGAUCCUUAAGACACUUUGUAAAGUGAUCAAUAGGAAUUUUUUAAUAUCCAGUGAUCCAAGAUCCACAUAGACUCUUCAUAAAGAUGAAAAGAAGAUAAGAAAAUAAAUCAACACAACAUUAUGCACAAAAUUUGAAUUCUCUAGGGAGGAGACCGAAUUUUGCUUCUUUGUUUUAUGUCAAAUUCCUCACUGCUUGUCCUAAGGACUGUAAUAAUAAAUGGUACUCAGCAUAACAUAUGAUACAAGUUAGAAUCAACAGUAAAAGGGUUAAUCAAACCAUUGACUUAAAUCGAGUCUAUAAUGACUGUAAUCCUGAAUUAUUUGAGCCUAAAGCUCUUACCAGCAAAUGGGUAGUUGAGAUGAAAGUCCUCUAUAAACAACUUGAACGAAUAAGUAAAGAAUAAAAUAUGGCUUCACCAAGUCAUGACAGAAAAUAUAAGCAAAAAAGAAAACAUUUUAGCCAAACAAGCCAUCUUGAAAAAGAAGAAGGCAAUAUAUGAGAAUCUUGUGGAAUCUAGCUUACUAACACACCAUAGGAUAUGCAAGGUGCUUAAGCAUUGUGGCUUUUGCUAUAAAAAAUCAAAAGAAGAAUUUAGCGAGAAAAGACAUGUCACUAGAUGAAGAGCUUGUACUUAGUAUGUGAUAGGAGACCACUAAAAAGAUAAAAGAUGCUAGCUAAAAGCAUCAAUAAUUCAUAGAGAAUCCAAGGGAAAAGAUAAGGCUUAUCAGAAUCCUUACCUCAACCAUAUGAAGACUGUUAACCAUAAAAAAAAGAAGACAAUAGUUGUCUUCAAUAAUGCAAGGGGAAGGGUUAGCUUGUUUCUAGGAAGUCUACCAUGUAACAAGUGCUAUGUAAAAAAAGAUAAUCUCAUCUCUAAAAUCCAUAUGUGUCCUAUAAGAAGGGAUUAUGUUAUCUGUUCAAGUCUAUAAAUAGGGUCAUGUUAGAUAGGAGAUGUAUAACUCACGAAUAUACUCUUAUUCCCAUCUUUAUUCUCUCUUUAAAUUCAUAAAUAAAUUGAAAAAAAAAAACUCUUUUUGAGUGAAAUUAUCAUCUUUAUAUCUAUCUUAUUUAGACUUGAGAAAAAAAAUCAAGAAUCUUACAUGCCAACACUUGUGUUAAAUGAAAAAGAUUUCAUUUUAUUAAGCACUCUUCUAAAGGCAAUUGCAAGGGAUUCACAUAGAUAGAUCUUAUUAGGCAAGUCUGUAGUGUGUUGCAUUAGGCCGUGUAGAACAGUUACAGAAGUGAUCUUGCAUGAUGCGUGCAGCUAGAGCGAUGUUGACCAUGGGCCAAUCUAUGGUCUCGAGUUAUUAGCGAAUUUAUUCCCGAAUUUUGAGGAAUAGUACAUUGGCUAGUACAUGGAAUUAUCUUAUUAUAUUUUGGACAAACAGAAGCAUGUUAGACCUAGAUUAUCUUUUAGAUCUUACAAGAUAUAAAGUGAUAAGUGUAACUUAAUUUUCAUAAAACGUUGAAUGAUAAGUCAAGAAACUUCUAGAUGCCACAGAUAAUCUAGACUUUAGUUAGGAAUUUAAGUUAUUUAUGCAAUGGAAAUUGUUAAAACUCGAUUAAUUGCAAGCAAACGCUUGUAUAAAGACAUAAAGAAAAUAAACUUUGAAGAUAACAAUGAAAUAUAUGAGACCUUUUAGGAAGAAAAUAGAAUAACAUUAAUAGAAUCUAUCUAACCAAUCUUGAAAAAAUUUAAAACAGAUGUAAAACAAAUAACAGGACUCUAAACCAUCCAUAAUAAGUCUAUUGAUGGAUAAUAACAAUAAUAAUGAUGUGAACUUUUUGAUUGGGAAUGCUGAAUUUAGAUUACAAUACCAAUGUGAAAGGAUUGAUGGCAUGUACCUUGGUUGGGAAAAUAGAUUGGACAUCUCUAUAGAUUUGUUGGAAGAAAAAAUCUAGUUUAUGUCUCAAGAGAGACAAGAAAUGAUGAAUGCCGGUGCUAUAAUAUAUGAUGAUUUUUAUGAAUUUGAUAAUCAUUUAGAUCUUUAUAACAAUAUAAUUAAAACUUCAAAAAGCUUUAAAAAUAGAUGCAGAAGAGAUUGGAAAAAAAAAAUCGUCUAGUUGUUCAAAACCAAUUAAACAAAAAUAAAAUGUGAAAUCCUUGAAUUAUAUAAAUUAUAUAAUUUCACAAAAAAUUGUGCUUUGGUGCUUAGUAUGGGUAAUUAGUGCGGUAUAAAUGCUCAUUUUUCUUUUUCUUUUGUAAAUAAAUUAUUGCAUCUUAAUUUUGUUACAUGUUACGAAUUUUGUGUUUUAAAAUACGCAAUUUUGUUUUCGUAUUUUGGGUUAAUUUUAUAAUUUCGUACUUUGUUCGACUAUAUGCACAGGUCCUUAACAUGUUGAUUGAUGUUGAAUAUAUAUUCAAAGAUCCACAAACUACCAAUGACAACAAAAGAAAUUAAACUAAAUAGUUAAUACAUAAUGAUUGGGUUGUUUUUACUACUUGUUAAUGAUGUAGGACGUUAUUUUAAGAUUUUAAGAUUUUAUUACUUUAGCCAUUUGAUAUUUCUUUUUUUAAUUAAGGUGUGUGUCUUAAUUUUUUUAUUUCUAUUAUAAUUAUGAUGUAGUUUCCAUUUUUAAGUUAACUUAGGUUAGUAGAUUUACUCUAUUAUAAAUACAGAGGUCUUGUAAUUAUUUUUGUAACUUCAACUUCAAUUAUUCAAUUAAAAACUCCUAUUUCAUAAUUUCCUUUGCUAUUAUAUAUUAAAAAUCUCUCUUGUAGAGUUGUUUAGAUUAUAGCAUCAUCUAACUUUGCGUAAUGCAAUAUUAAAAAUCCCAUUUAGUUAUUUGAAUUAGAACGAGAUCUAAUAACACUUCGAUUAGAAUGUAACUUAAUUGUGUUGUCUUGAUUCAGUACUUAAACGAUGUGUAGUGUUUCUCUUCCGCUACGUUGCUCCGUCGAUUAACAUUUCUAGGGGAAAAUUAAUUUCACCGUGAGAUAAGAGCAUUAAAAGGAGUUCAUAAGAAAGUAAAAUUAAUGCUAUGUUAAAUGUAUCGCAAGCUACUUAUUUUUCUGGAAAUUGAAACGAUUAAUUAACUACGAGGUGAAAAUAAAUAAAUAAAUGAAUAUGAAGUUGAAAAUAAGUCUCGCCGCCUGGACCCAAGGCCAAAACAUUCAUGAUAAGUUAGGUAAUUAAAUACAUGUUUCAAGCUACAUGUUUUCAAUCUCUUCAUGAAGAAUGAUGAUAUUGAAGUAAAUCACAGAGACUUGCUGUUCAAAUCAUUACUUUGAUACAAAAAAUGCCAUAUCAUUAAAAGGAUCGUGACUUUUAAUUACUUUAUUCCCUGUUUGGGCAACAGCUAGCCACUAAAGAAAAUCAUAAAAUUUUAUGUUUAGUCAAAUUUGUGCCAACCUGAUGACACCGUUUUCAUCAUUUGGUUACUAAUGUUUAACAUCAAGGUUAUAUAUGACAAGUUUGGUAGAGCAGGUGAAAAGCCUAAGUCUAUAUAAGGAGGGGAAGGAGCUUGGUUUAUAGCACAACCGAAACUCCACUUUGCAUUGAACGAUGGGGUCUCAAACGGGCUAUCUCUUUGCCACUCUUUUGGUAAUAUCAGUCUCUCUUAGCCACUUGCCAUUAGAAGCCUCCGCAAACAAUUACUACUACACAUCUCCUCCCCCACCAAAGAAAUAUCCACCACCACCACCUCCCCCUCCCCAGUACAAAUCUCCACCACCCCCGCCACCGGUUCACAAGUCUCCACCACCACCCCCGGAUUACAAGUCCCCGCCACCUCCUCCACCAGCCUGCGAGCCUGCUCCGCCACCAACUCCAAUUUUCCCUUCUCCGCCACCUCCUGUCCCCAAGUUCUCGCCACCACCGCCUCACCCUUACGUCUAUGCAUCUCCCCCUCCUCCUUACUACUACUAGAAAGCGGCCAUGAAUAGCUCAUGCUUUUAUGGUAAUCUCAUUUAUUUUUAAAACUGUACAUGUAAAGACUAGUAGUUCAAAAUUACAUUAAGCAUUUCAAUUUUAAGCACCGUGUUCUGUUUAAUUGUGUUCCUAGUGAUUAAGUGACAAAUAAAAGAGACUGAUGAAUUUGUUCUUGUAGGAGAGGCGAAUGGUAUCCGAAUAAAGAAAGGGUUUGAUGAAAAGCUUACUGAGAGCAAGAUAGCGGUCGACCGAGUUGCCGCGUUUGAUUCUUUUUUGUCUUUUAUUUUUAAUGAAGAAUAAACAGCCACAUGUAGAAACAGAAAAGUUCUUGUCAUUUUCAUGCUUGUGGAUUGUUGCUGUGCGUGUCAAUCGAAUCUCUGGUGCGUCUUUUGUAAUUUUCAACUUUUAUACUUGCAAAUGCGAGACCUUUUUCGUAUAAUAAAAUUAAUAUACUUCGCAAGAUGGUCUUAUCAUGCGUUAAACUUUAUGUUCCUUUGGUGAUGAUUGUGACGUUUAAAAUUGAUGACUAUUGUUUUUGUAAACUCUGCAUGGAUUUUUCGUGCAACUAUAGAGCGCAUUGACGAGAGUCUUAUCCAUGAGGGUCCAUGUAGAUCAGUGUCUAUUAACCAAUAAUUAAUAUAACUUAAAAAAUAUAGUUAAUCAGUCAUGCUCGAGUGCAAAUGUUGGUACAAAAUUUCGUGCCAAUGUGUACUUGAGUAUGAUUAUAAGUUUUAAUCAUUAUUAAUAAUUCAACCAACAAGUGCAUAGAUCAACUGGCGUGGGGUUGUUCUAACUUAACCAAGGUUCUCGGUUCGAAACUUGGGAAUGCAGCUGCGUUAAAUACUUGUUGGGAGAGCUUUGCCGCCCUAGUGGUCCUACCCGACUCGAAUCUGAAUUAGUUCAGGCCCAAUGUGGUCUUCAGAUACCAGAUGGUUUAAUACACCGAAAAAAAUAAUUCACUUGAUAAUAUUAAACAAAAUUUCACAUCAAUUAAGUUAUAAUAUUGAUUACCUUAUAUAUUUAGUGAUUUUGUAUUUAAAUUGAAUAAUGAUAAUUUUGGUUUCAUAGGGAAAAUGACUAACGCACACCAAAUGUUUAAGGAAAGGGACAUGAAAGUCCCUAACAUUUUAGAAAAGACACUUAAACCCCAAAUUGUUAAUAAAUUCUGUUAAUUUUAACAGAUUUUUUUUUUUCAACUUAUAAUUACUAUUAUCUCCCUAAAACAUACAAGUCAAUAUAUUAACUUGUCAUUUUGCCCAUUAAUUAUUAAUAAAAUUAUGAAUAUACCCUAAUUUAUAAGGUUGAAAUGCAUGUAACAUAUCCAAAGUCCCUACAAAUUAGAAUAGGAGUUAAACACCGCACACAGAUACUAAUGACAUUUUAAAAUGGAAUGGAGUUAUUACCUUAACUAAUCCUUGUGUAACGGAUUCCAAAAGCCUUUUAUUGCUACCAAUACCAAAUUAGUCCAAAUCUCCCUUUGUCUGGAGACCAAAUAAUACAGUAAGGCAAGCUUGAGGUUCAUCACGCAGCACAUCUCCAAUCAGCAUCGGAGCUCCAUUUCUCUGUCUCCUAAACAGCACUUCACAAGUUAUUCCUGUUCACUCUUUCAGGACUAUCAGUAGGGCAGUAAUCUCCAUGUCUACGAUGGGAAGAUUGCCCUGGAGUUGGGAUGUUUUCAGGAAAUACAAACCCUAAAGAAGUGACCGGCCUUAAUCAAUUGUUGGUUCCAGGGAUAAUUAGGGUACAAAUGGCACGGCUUCAGGAGCGAUAGAUGGAUUAUAAAUGCAUUGGACCUCAUAAGGGCGAUCUUAAGCAGUCUUGGGAGUGGGACUAGAACUACGAUAGUGUUAGGCUUCAGAUGGUUGCUCUUGGCGAAGAUUAGCCGGAGCAACAAAGGCAGGAUUGUCGGCAGGAUUGUCAAGUGCAACAUUCUUAGCUUGUCUUUGAUUGAGUCACUAACCGAAACCAUCUGAGUGUCAUUUUUAUCAGCAGGACCAGUCAGAAAUUCAUCCUCAAAUGUUUUCUUGAUUGAAAAGUAGCUUUGUCAAUGACUCAAUCAGCAGUGUCAAAAUCAAAGAAAUCACUUUCCCUUAUCUUAAAUUUUCUCCACGAAGAAAGAUGAUCCAAAGGAGAAAUCUUCAUGCAUUUUUCAGGAAAAAGUGUAUCAUCCGAGUAACCCCAGAGAAAGAAGAACUCAUCAUGGUUAGUUAAUGUUGUUGAUAAUUUCAUGUACUAGCAUAGACCAGAAAGCACUUAAUUCAUGACGAACCUAGAAGAAAGGUUAAAAAACAAUAUAACACACCACUUAUAAAGAAGAGAGGUGGCAGGGAGAGGAAAUAACUAAUUCAGCAAGCGCAUAAGACAUAGAAGAUAAUAAUGUUACCUUUUGUAGGAUAACUAACUCAAAAGGAUAGGCCUUUGAAGAUCUAGUGACCUGCUUGCUUUCCAGCAAAACUUCCAUGCAUUCAAGCACUGAAUUUGACGUAAAGCCAAGAUUGUAGCCUCCUUCCAAUGCCAAAACAAUCUUGCCUUUUGCAAAAUCCAUCAACUGGAGAAAGAAAAUUACAGAUGUGGAAUGCGCCAAAGACUCGAAAGUCAACCCAAAAUCAGUAGCUUGCAAGAAAAGCCACAAGAUAAAUACAACAAAAUGAAAAUAUUAAACCAUAUCAUCUUGUUGUCAGCCUUAGAAAUUUAGCAUUCCCUCCAUUCUGUGUUCUACAAUUUGAAACAUCAAUAUAAAAAUGCUAAAAUAUUAGAGUAAAGAGAAGAUAAAAUUUGAAUGCUACUCUUUUUUAAUAUAAUUGAAUAUCCAUAUGGUGUGCCCCAACAGUCCCCUAAAGAAUCACCAGUGGCUGUUCUGUUCCAAGCAUUGUGUUAGAAAGAUUUAUCAGAAAAAAAGAUUAAAAAAUAACGAAAGUAGGCAUGUUGGAGUUAUGAAGCUCAAAUAUGAACUUAGGGAUAUGUAUGACACGUCGCUUGUUUGUCAGGAAGAAUAACGACAUGUUGAGCAUUGGAGUUCAGAGCAGCUGAAUGAUACAAACGUUAUGUCGGCUGGAUGUGUUAGUAAUGCACGUGAUGCGUCACAUGUUCCACUAAUUCAAACGGCAGCCACAUCUGCGUUUUAGUUAGCAGAUUGCGUGAACAAUUGACAAGUGUCCCAGAGCAAAUUCAAGAAGUGGUUUUUUCGGUUAGAUCAUGCGGGAGGCAGCUGGAGAUCUUCUUGGUUGGAAACCCAGGAGGUGAUCAGGUUGAUACUCAGCUUUCAACGCCUGUUACAAAACAGGAAGAACAGCAACAACCAGAUGAUCAACACAAGAAUAUCCCUGAACAACCAUCACUUUUAGAACCUCGUCGUAGUGGGAGGGUAACUAGGUUACCUGCGAGAUACAUACUUUUGGGAGAAACUUAUACAGCUAUCUCAGAUGAACAUGUACAAGAUCCCACUAGUUACAACAAAGCUCUAAUAGAUAGAGAUGUUGAAUUUUGGAAAAAGGCCAUGAAUCAAGAAAUGGAAUCUAUGUAUUCCAAUAAAGUCUGGGAACUUGUAGAGGCACCAAAUGGGGUAAAACCUAUAGGGUGCAAGUGGAUCUACAAGAGAAAAAGAGAAGUAAACGGAAGGGUGGAAACAUUUAAAGCAAUAUUAGUAACCAAAGGGUUGUAUUUAGAAAGAGAAAUUGAUUAUGAGGAAACCUUUUCCCCGGUUGCUAUGCUUAAAUCCAUUAGGAUUCUGCUCUCCAUUGCUGCAGUGCUAGAUUAUGAAAUUUGCCAAAUGGAUGUCAAGACUGCCUUUCUUAACGGGCAUCUUGAAGAAAAUAUCUGCAUGCAGCAACCAGAUGGAUUUAUACAAAAAAGGCCAAGAACACAUGGUUUGUAAGUUGCAGAGAUCUAUUUUUGGAUUGAAGCAAACAUCCCAGUCAUGGAACAUCAGAUUUGAUCAAGCGAUUAAAUCGUUUGGAUUCAUUCAGAACAUUGAUGAAUCAUGUGUGUACAAGAAAAUUCAAGAAAAAUUUGUAGCCUUCCUAAUUCUUUAUGUAGACGAUAUUCUCCUAAUUGGAAAUGAUAUAGGAGUAUUGACUACAAUAAAAAGUUGGUUAGCAAAACAAUCUGAUAUGAAAGACCUGGGAGAUGUAAGUUAUAUUCUUGGUAUCAAGUUACUACGAGACCGGAAGAAUAAAAUUUUACCUUGUCUCAAGCAGUCUAUAUCAAUAAGAUAUUGGCUAGAUUUAGCAUGGAAAAUUCCAAGACUGGUUUAUUACCAUUCAAACAUGGAAUUACAUUCUCUAAAGAUCAAUCUCCUAAAACAUCUGAAGAGAUAGAGAGAAUGAGACGAGUUCCCUAUGCAGAAGCUGUGGGAAGUCUCAUGUAUGUCAUGCUUUGCACUAGGCCCGACAUCUGUUUUGCGGUAGGGAUAGUUAAUAGAUAUGAAUCUAAUCCUGGACCUAAACACUGGACUGCGGUCAAGCAUAUAAUGAAGUAUCUGAAAAGAACUAAAAAUUAUAUGCUUGUGUAUUCUGGUGAUGAACUCAUUCCAGUGGGUUAUACUGAUUCUGACUUUAUGUUAGAUAAGGAUUCCAGAAAAUCAACUUGCGGCUAUGUGUUUACAUUAGGAAGUGGAGCUAUUAGUUGGAGGAGUGUGAAACAAUCUUGUAUCGCAGACUCCACAACUGAAGCUAAAUAUGUGGCUGCAUCCGAAGCUGCAAAAGAAGCUGUAUGGCUCUGCAAGUUCCUACAAGAUCUUGAGGUGGUACCUGCUGUAACUGCACCCCUUAAACUAUUUUACGAUAAUAGUGGUGCGGUAGCUCAAUCUAAGGAACCACAAGAAACAAAAACAUAUUGAGAGGAAGUAUCAUCUUAUAAGGAAAUAGUGUAGAAAUGUUAUAUGACAGUGCCCCAAAUGACAUUAGAUGCUAAAUGACAGAUCUUAUUACAAUAGCCAUUAGUGGAAAACCUUUAUAACCUGCACUUAGAGCCCUAGAGCAUGUGCAAUAUGCCAGAUAUGCUUUAAGAGCUAGUGGGAGAUUGUUGGAAAAAUAUGCUCUUUAAAAGCAUAUGUGUUUAUUUAAUUGUAAUAAACAAUUUUUCUGAUUAAUAAAAUAAAUGAGGUAUUUUAUUCAAAUAUCUUAAUUGCAUUAAUAUUUUUAUUAAAGUCCAUUUAAUCAUAUUAUAUGUAUUUAUGUGAUCACCAUGUGGAUUCACAGAAGACAUAAAUACAAGUUAUCUUAUGAUUAAAUAAAUUUAGUUCGCAGUUGAUAAAUAAAGUUGGGCACUUUAUUUAGGUAUAGACUGUAAUAAAUUUAUUGAAUGAUUUGUCUUAAUCAUGUAUGAAUUUAUUGAUGUAGUACGACUACAUUGAACAGGAUCACAUAUGAGAUUUAAUUAUAACUGUCAGACUUAUUAAAUCUCAUAGGCAUUGAUUUUACUGUAAUCUUAAUAUUGAGUUAAUUAUGAUUUCAUGAUUGUAAUUGUUAUUCCAUUUGAGUUACCAAUGGGCACGACAUAUACUUGUGGUCAAGAUUACCCAGUAUCUUGGUGGGAGCAAUUAUGAGUAUUGGAGUUAUGGAUUAACAAUAUAGAAUUUGUACAACACAUCUCUUGAUGGGUUUUCGGCACUUGAUCAUAUAAUUCUCUGGCCAGAGUGUGUCAACAUAUUUAGUAUGUUGAAAAUAAUCAUUAACGAAAACCAGUAAGUAUUAAAGAACAAGAUGUAAUUAAAUUGAUUGGAUAGUUGAGAUAUCGAUUUAAUUAAUGAUGUGGUACAAAGGAUUGUGCAGUAAAGAAAUCAAUGUGGCUUGAGACGAAUUAUUAUUCGAGCAUAUAAUUAUGGAAGUCAGUUCCAAUCUUUUAGUGGAGUAUUCCAAUCUUUUAGUGGAGUAGAUUUAGAAUUAAAUAAUUGAGCUAGUUUAAUUACAUGUCUAAUUAUUGUAGCCACUAUUGUAUGUUCCCAAAUGAUCCCCGGGUUAGCUCAUUUAAUUGACUGCACCACUAUUGGAUUAAUAAGCAAGAUAACUAGCUAAUUGGGUCAAAAGCCUAAAUAUAUCAUUUAGUGGGAGGCUCCAUUUAAUUAGUUUGUGUGUAAGGGGCCUUAUGUUAUUUUACAAGGUGGGUCCCUUAUAGAAAAAGCAAGUAAUGUGAGUUUGUUUUUGAUUAUUUGGAGCCUAGGGUUUUCACUAAAGGGAGAUAUAAAAGGCUUAUUUUCUCUAAAGAAAAGAGAUAGCAGCCACUUUAUAUAGAUCAGAGAAAAAGAUUUUUCUCUCUAUUGUUGAGAGAAAAAUUUUCUCGUGCUAGUUGAUUUGGUAGUGAUAAAGGUGCCCACACGUCAAGUGCAGAUCAAACCUGAGUCAUAAUCUGAAAGAUAAUUGGUGACAGUUCGUGAUCUAACAAGCGUGGUGGUGACGGAUCGUGAUCUAACAGACGUGGUGGUGACGGAUCGUGAUCUAGGAGCCUAAAUCACUUCAGCGGAAAAAUCUAAAUCGAAUUUUCAAGGUACGAUUUCUAGAUUACGUAUUCUUAUAUAUUAUAUGAGAGCGAUCUUAAAAAUGUUUUAUAAAAAAUUUAAAAAACUUAUCUUUCCCCAACAUAUGGAACCAUGCAAAAGGGCUUUAUUCAAACAAAGCCGCAUAGCCGUUGGCAAUCAAAAUACUUUAUCAAUUAAGUUAAGUAGUAAGAAUUGGAUUGUGGAUUCUAUUAAUUAUUUCAAGGAAAAUUUUAUAGAUAAUGGCGUAAUGAAAUUUACGGCAUCAAUACCAUGAUAAAUAUAAAUAUUGUAAAUUACAAAUAGAAUUAGUAAAUGUAAAGUAAAACCAGUAAAUUCAUAAAAGAUUAUUAAUUAUUUAAAAAAUUAACAUUGUUUCUACAUAAUUUUAGUGAAAAAUAUUUUAUUCAUUUACAAAAAAAAAAUUCUUUAAUUAAAAAAAAUCAUUAAUUAAAUAAAAAAUUAUACUGAAACAAAAGUGGAAUAAGUUUAAUUGAAUUGGUUACCAUAAAUUCUAUAUUUAGUCUAGAACAUUUGUAUACAUUUUUUUUCCCAUUUUCUAUAAUGAUAUCUAUUUAUUACACAUGUUAAUUAAGUGUAAUUAUUUAUCUUGAUGUGGAUCAAGUAAAAAAAAAAAAAGAGAUAUCAAUAAAAUUAGAUCUAAUUUUGAAUAUUAUGUAUACUUUAUGUAGUUUCAAACAUUUUACCUGUAUUUGGAGACCAUUUAAGGUUGUUGUUGAAGAAGUGUAGAAAGAUGUAAAAUAACGUCAUCUUACAACAAUUAUAAUGAUAUCUAUUUAUUACACAUGUUAAUUAAGCACAAUUAUUUAUCUUGAUGUGGAUCAAGUAAAAAUAAAAAAAAAGAUAUAUCAAUAAAAUUAGAUCUAAUUUUGAAUAUUAUGUAUACUUUAUGUAGUUUCAAACUUUUUACUUGUAUUUGGAGACCAUUUAAGGUUGUUGUUGAAGAAGUGUAGAAAGAUGUAAAAUAACUUCAUCUUACAACAACUAUGAAAGAUAUUAAAAUAAUAUUUUUUUCAAAAUCCGAUUUUGAGCAAAAAUUUCAUCCUUAAUUAAACAUCACAUGUAUUAUGGAAAUGCAAAACUACCAUUGUUAUAUUUAAAUUAAAAAAUAAUAAAUAUAUAAGGUAAUAAACAUUAUAACGAGUUUUUAUUUUAAAAUUGUAAACUUUUGUUUCUAACAAUAACUCUUAUAUUAAUUAAUUUAUUUUUCCUUUUAUUCAUAAGUUUUAUGCUUAAUCUACAAACUUUAUGUUUUAUUUUGCAUUUAAUGUUGAUUUACUUUUUUUAUAUUAUACUUAUAAGUUUUCAUUUUAUUUACCAGUAAUACAUCAAUUUAUCAAUUUUGUAGUAAUUUACUUAUUUUACUUUCCUUUUACAAUUCUUAUGUUUAAUUUCCAAAGUUUAUGUUUUAUUUUACAGUUGUUGAUGAUUUACUAGUUUUAUGUUAUGUUUGCAAGUUUUUGUUUUGUUUACUAGUAAUAGAUUAAUGGGUAAUUUUUAAUUGAGUCCUCAUUAGAUCUAGAAAAAUAAUUCAGUGACCAGAAGUUUACUAAAUGAAUCAAUUAAAUUCUUUCAAAUACAAACUAAUGUCAUUCAAGUCCUUAACUUAAUUGCUCAGUUAAAAAUACUAACAACGUUGAGGACAUUUUAGUAAAACAACAAUUGAGUCGUUUCUCAUUCUUUAUUUUUGACAGGUGGAAAUAGUUUAAAGUAAAAAAUAAUCAAGGCCUAACUGUUAACAUGUAGAUGUUCAUUAUAUUGAUUUUGAUGAUAACAAACUUUAAAUAUUUUUUAUUAAAAUGUUGGAGUUUUCAUUACUAAACAAUUUCUCAAAAGUCGUAUGAUCUUUCUAAAUGUGUUCAUGAAAUAUGGAGAAUCGUUAACUUUAACCGAAAAAUCAUUCCCUGCGAAAUUUGGUUAAAAUUGUGAUUCUGGAAGUAAAUGGUGAACCAUUAACUUCAAACGGCCAACCAAUAAUUUCCAGAAUGUCAUUCCAUGCUGACCUUCAAUCGUUUAGCAAGAACCGAUAGCAGAAAUUUGUUUUACAGGUUUAUGGAAAUUAACAGCAAACCGAUAGUGUCAAAAGAUCAACUGUUUAUUUGAAAUUUAUCGCAACGGUCACUUGAACCAGUCAAAACGGUUAACUGAUAACGGUUAACGGCGAUCCAAUUUCGGGAAAAAGUCAACAAUGGCUAUUUUUCAACUCCAACAUUAAAUAAGCUCAAUCAAAUUCAAACUCAAACAAGAGCUGAUCACAACAUUAUCAUUGAGCUUAUAAUCGAGAAUACAACAUUCAUUGAGCUUCAAAUUAAUUCUUGUUCAUUUAUUCACACAUUAAGCGUUGAUUUGUAAUCUCAAAAAAUUGUGUGAGAGAAAAAUAAAUUUGUAAUCUUUAUUUUGAGUGAUUGUAAAUGUUGGGAUACACUUGGGUUAAGAGAUUGGGGAUAAUCUCUUGAUGUAAAGGUUGAUUGACGCCUAAGAAGUUAGUUGUAAGUGUUCUUGAAGCCUUGAAGGCUUGACUAGUGGAAUGCCCAAGCUCCGUGUGCUUGGAGGCGUGGAUGUAGGCAAGGUUGGCCGAACCACGUAAAACUCUCUAUAUUUUAAUCUCUCUUCCCUUAUCUUUUUAUAUUUUGGUUGAUUUAUUUAUUAUUGCUUUAAAUUUGUUUAAGAUUUGCAUUAAGUUUUGUUUAAGAAUUGCAUAAUUUUUAGAAACCCAAUUCACCCCCCUCCUGGGUUGCUUAGAUAUUAUUUCACUAACAUGCCUCUGUUUGUGCAAAAUAUAAUAAGGUAAUUUAGAGUACUAACCAUAGUACUCUUCCUCGAAAUUCUAGAAUAGGUUCGCUAGUUCCAUGAGCCCAUAGAUUGGCCCAUGCUCAGCACUGUUAUAGCUCCACACAUUAUGCAAGAUUACUCCCGCAACUAUUCCACACGACCUAAAGCAACACAUUGCCGACUAGCCCAAUAAGAUCUGCCUUAGUUCAUUAGUUGAAUAAUUUAUUUUAAUUCUAAUUUAUAAUAAGAAUGGCACUGAUAAAAUUACUGUAGCAAUUCCUAUAAUAAUAAUCCUUGUGGAGACGAUCUUGAAUACUAAUCGUUAUAUUACUUGUUGUGUACAUUUUCACAUUGACACUAAUAGCAUUAGAAAAUCGACAACAAGUUUUUUGCGCCAUUACCGGGGAUUGGUGCUUAUUGUGUUUUGUGAAAUCAAUUUUAGUUGGUACAAUAGAGUUCUUUGCCACCAGACUCCAUCACCACAUGGAAUGAUUUGGCUGACAAUAUUUUGAUGAAAUAUUUCCCACCAACAAAGAAUACAAAGUUGAAGAAUGAGAUCACAUCUUUCCAUCAACUUGAAGAUGAAAGCUUGUAUGAUGCAUGAGAAAGAUUCAAGGAGUUACUCAGGAGAUGCCCUCAUCAUGGUAUUCCUUAUUGCAUACAAUUGGAAACUUUCUACAAUGGGUUGAACUCAAGCACUAAGGGCUUUAUUGUCUAACUCAUAUAAUGAGGCUUAUGAAAUUUUGGAAAGGAUAACUAUCAAUGGCCAUCAACUAGACAAGCCACAGUGAGAGGAGCAGCAGGAGUACACAAUGUGGAUGCACUGACAACAUUAUCAGCCCAAGUAACCUCAUUGACAAAUAUGGUAAAAGCAACGGCCACUGCUCCAACAACAGUUAACCAAGUUGCUGAAGUCUCUUGUGUUUAUUAGAGAGAGGGACAUCUAUAUGAUAAUUGUCCUAUGAAUUCAGCUUCAGUCAAUUAUGUGGGCAAUUUUAAUAAACAAAAUCAAAGCAAUCCAUUUUCAAACAGCUAUAACCUUGGAUGGAGACAUCACCGAAAUUUUUCAUGGAGCAAUCAGAAUCAGCAUGCUGCAGCAUCUAGUGGACAGAACAGACUUGCUCAACCACCUGGUUUUCACCAGCAAUUAUAAGGGUAAAGAAACACCAGUAAUGAUCAAUUUAGUUCCCUUGAAACUCUAAUUAAGGAGUAUAUUGUGAAGAUUGAAGUAGUGGUCUAAAGCCAAGUUGUAUUUUUAAGAAACUUGGAGAAUAAGAUUGGAUAGCUUGCUACAACAUUGAGCAACAUACCUCAGGACAGUUUACUAAACAAUACAGAGGAUCCAAAGAGAGAAGGAAAAGAGCAUUGUAAGGGGAUUAACUUAUGGUCUGGAAAGGAUGUUCAUAUUCUUGUUAAAGUACCAAAAAGAAAAGUGGAACCUAAUUCAACCCAAAGGGAAACUCAAAUUAAAGAAGAGACACAACAACCCAUUUUCCAGCACACUGGUGAGAGUUGCUAAGCUAUAACAACUGCAAAAAAACAUGAUUCAAUGCUUGUUGAGGAAGAAGCUGCAACACCAACAAUAACAGACCAUAAUAGAGCAAGAGAAAAGCAAUUUGUAUAGUCUGCUGCAGUACAACAAUUUACACAUCCACCAACAUUUCCACAAAGAUUUCAAAAGCGAAAGCAAGACAAGCAAUUCAAUAAAUUCUUGGAAGUAUUGAAACAACUGCAUAUCAACAUUCCUUUUGUGGAAGCAUUAGAACAAAUGCCAAAUUAUGUAAAGUUUUGGAAAUGUAUAUUGGCAAGGAAAAUGAGGCUUGGAGAAUUUGAAAUAGUUGGCCUAACACAAGAAUGCAGCCAUAUGCUUCAAAGUAAAAUGCCUCAAAAGAUGAAGGAUCUAGGAAGUUUCACAAUUCCUUGUUCCAUAGGAACUAAAUAUAGUGGCAAGACACUUGGGUAAUUUUUAGGGACCUCCCCUGAGGAUUGGUGUAUUAACACUUAGAUGGAAUGUAUUCGUGAAAUUACAAAUACCUCCCCUGCCGUUAGUAUAAAAAUACGUAUAACAUCAGUAUAGAAGGGUAAAUGUGUAAAAACAUAUUAAAAACUAAAAAUGUAUGCUUUUACUAGAUCAAUAAAAUUUUGACCACCACUUGCCACCUGUUGACCCACCCUUGAGCAGCUGAUCAUGGCUCCACCGGUGGCUAGUGGUGGUGCUUUACUAGUGUUGGAGUUCCCUCCUCACACCGGCGACCAACCCCAUUCACGGUCCUUGUGGCAAUAAUUAUGGGACUAGUGUAGCAUAAAUACUAAUAUUGCUUUUUAUUUUGUAAAUUAAUUGUUGCGUCAUAAUGUUUUUACAUACACAUUUUAUGUUUUAAAAUAUGAAUUUUUUUUUUGUAUUUAGGGUUAAUUUUACAAUUUCAUACUUUGUUCAAUUAUAUGUACAGGUCCUUAACGUGUUGGUUGAUGUUGAAUAUUCAAAGAUCCACAAGCUAUCAACAACAACGAAUCAAAUUAAACUAAUUAGUUAAUACAUAAUGACUGGGUUGUUUCCUAUGCUUGUUAAUGAUGUAGGACAUUAUUUUAGGAUUUUAGAAUUUUAAUUAUUAGGUCUUCUGAUAUUUUCUUUUUUAAUUAAAGUCAGUGUCUUAGUUUUUUAUUUAUUUAUGUUAUAAUUAUAAUUUACUUUCUCUUUUUAAGUUAACUUAGGAAAAUAUAUUUACUGUAUUAUAAAUAAAGAGAUCUUGUUAUUACUUUAUAACUUCAACUUCAGUUAUUCAAUUAAAAACCCCUCUUUUAAAGUUGUUUGAUUAGAGCAUCAUCUAGCCUUGCUUAACGCAUUAUUAAAAAUCCCUUUGAGUUUAAUCACACUUCUAUUAGAGCGUAACUUAAUCGCAUUAACUUGGUCCAGUACUUGAACGAUAUCAAGUGUUUUGCUUCCGCUAUGCCCAAGGAGAAAAUUAAUUUCACCGUGAGAUAAGAGCAUUAAAAGGAAUUCAUAAGAAAUUUAAAUUAAAGCUAAGUUAAAUAUAUCGCUAGCUACUUGUUUUCGGAGGAAUUAAAACAAUUAAUAAGCUGCGAAGUGAAAAUGAAUAAAUAAAUGAAAUGAGGUUGAAAAUAAGUCUCGCCGCCUGGAUCCAAGGCCAAAACAUUCAUGAUAAGUUAGGUAAUUAAGUACAUGUUUUCAAGCUCUUCAUGAAGAAUAACGUUAUUGAAAUAAAUCACAAAGACUCCCUGCGCAAAUUAUUACAUUGAUUAAAAAAAAAAAGCCAUAUCUUUAACAGGAUCGUGACUCUCGGACUGUUAAUUACUUUAUUCCCUGCUUGGCCAACAGCUGGCCACUAAACAAAAUCAUAAAAAAUUUAAAUUUAGUCAAAUUGGUCCCACUUGAUGACAUCCUUUUCAUACAUAAAAUUGUUUAACGUCAAGGUUAAAUAUGAGAAGUUUGGUAGAGAAGGUAAAAAGGACGUCUAUAUAAGGAGGGGAACGAGCUUUGUUUAUAGCACAAGUGAAACUCCACUUUAUUGAACGAUGGGGUCUCAAAUGGGCUGCCUCUUUGCCACUCUUUUGGUAGUAUCAGUCUCUCUUAGCUACUUGCCGAUAGAAGCCUCCGCAAACAAAUACUACUACACAUCUCCUCCCCCUCCCAAGUACAAGUCUCCACCACCACCCCCGCCACCGGUUCACAAUUCUCCACCACCACCCCCGGUUUACCUGCCCCCGCCACCUCCUCCACCAGUCUACGUGCCUGCUCCGGCACCAACUCCAAUUUUCCCUUCUCCGCCACCUCCUGUCCCCAAGUCCCCACCACCACCUCACCCUUACGUCUAUGCAUCUCCCCCUCCUCCUUACUACUACUAGAAAGCGGCCAUGAAUAGCUCAUGCUUUUAUGGUAAUCUCAUUUAUUUUUAAAACUGUACAUGUAAAGACUAGUAGUUCAGAAUUACAUUAAGCAUUUCAAUUUUAAGCACCGUGUUCUGUUUAAUUGCGUUCCUAUUGAUUAAGUGACAAAUAAAAGAGAUUGAUUAAUUUGUUCUUGUAGGAGAGGCGAAUGGUAUCCGAAUAAAGAAAGCAAGGGUUUGAUGGAAGGCUUACUUGGAGCAAGAUAGCGAUCAAUCGAGUUGCUGCGUUUUAUUCUCUUUUCUCUUUGUUUUUUAAGAAAAAUAAACUGCCACACGUAGAAACAGAAAAUUAAGUUCUUGUCAUUUUCAUGCAUGUGGAUUGUUGCUUUGUGUGUCAAUCAAAUCUCCGUUGUGUCAUUUGUAAUUUUCAACCUUUAUGCAUGCAAAUGCGAGACCUCUUACGUAUAAUAAAAUUAAUAUACUUCCCAAGAUGGUCUUAUCUUGCGUUGACUUUUUACGUUCCUUUGGUGAUGAUUUUAACGUUUGAAAUUGAUGAGUAUUGUUUUUGUAAACUCUGACAUGGAUUUUUCGUGCAACUAAAGAGCGCAUUAAUGAGAGACUUAUCCAUGAGGGUCCAUGCAUAUCAGUGUCUAAUUAACCAAUAAUUAAUAUAACUUAAAAAAUAUAGAGUUAACAAUUUUUAUGGGUCAGGCUCAAUUGCAGAUGUUCGUACAAAAUUUCUUGCUAAUGUAUACUUGAGUAUGAUAAUAAGUUUUAAUCAUUAUUAAUAAUUCACUUGACAAUAUUAAACAAAUUUUCAUAUCAAUUAAGUUACAAAAUUUCUGUGACAAAUUUCCACGUACUGGAACCAUGCAAAAGGACUUUAUUCAAACAAAGCUGCAUAGCCGUUGGCAAUUAAAAUUAUUUAUCAAUUAAGUUAAGUAGUAAGAAUUGGAUUGUGGAUUCCAUUAAUUAUUUCAAGGAAAAUUUUAUAGAUAAUGCCGUAAUGAAAUUUACGGCAUCAAUACCAUGAUAAAUAUAAAUAUUGUAAAUUACAAAGAGAAUUAGUAAAGGUAAAGUAAAACCAGUAAAUUCAUAAAAGAUUAUUAAUUAUUUAAAAAAUUAACAUUGUUUCUACAUAAUUUUAGUGAAAAAUAUUUUAUUCAUUUACAAAAACAUUUCUUUAAUUAAACAAAAAAAAUUCAUUAAUUAAGCAAAAAAAUUAUACUGAAAAAAAAAAGUGGAAUAAGUUUAAUUGAAUUGGUUAUCAUAAAUUCUAUAUUUAGUCUAGGACAUUUGUAUACAUUUUUUUUCCCAUUUUCGAUAAUGAUAUCUAUUUGUUACACAUGUUAAUUAAGUGCAAUUAUUUAUCUUGAUGUGGACCAAGUAAAAAAAAAAAAAAAAAAAGAGAUAUCAAUAAAAUUAGAUCUAGUUUUGAAUAUUAUGUAUACUUUAUGUAGUUUCAAACUUUUUACUUGUAUUUGGAGACCAUUUAAGGUUGUUGUUGAAGAAGUGUAGAAAGAUGUAAAAUAACUUCAUCUUACAACAACUAUGAAAGAUAUUAAAAUAAUAUUUUUUUCAAAAUCCGAUUUUGAGAAAAAAUUUCAUCCUUAAUUAAACAUCACAUGUAUUAUAGAAAUGAAAAACUACCAUUGUUAUAUUUAAAUUAAAAAAUAAUAAAUAUAUAAGGUAAUAAACAUUAUAACGAGUUUUUAUUUUAAAAUUGUAAACUUUUGUUUCUGACAAUAACUCUUAUAUUAAUUAAUUUAUUUUGCAUUUUAUUCAUAAGUUUUAUGCAUAAUCUACAAACUUUAUGUUUUAUUUUGCAUUUAAUGUUGAUUUGGUUUUUUUAUAUUAUACGUAUAAGUUUUCAUUUUAUUUACCAGUAAUACAUCAAUUUAUCAGUUUUAUUGUAAUUUACUUAUUUUACCUUCCUUUUACAAUUCUUAUGUUUCAUUUUCAAAAUUUAUGUUUUAUUUUACAGUUGUUGAUGAUUUACUAGUUUUAUGUUAUGUUUGCAAGUUUUUGUUUUGUUUACUAGUAAUAGAUUAAUGGGUAAUUUUUAAUUGAGUCCUCAUUAGUUCUAGAAAAAAAAUUCAGAGACCAGAAGUUUACUAAAUGAAUCAAUUAAAUUCUUUCAAGUACAAACUAAUGUCAUUCAAGUCCUUAACUUAAUUGCUCAGUUAAAAAUAUUAACAACAUUGAGGACAUUUUAGUAAAACCACAAUUGAGUCGUUUCUCAUUCUUUAUUUUUGACAGGUGGAAAUAGUUUAAAGUUAACUCAAUUAACCUGAUUAAGUUAAGGAUCAGUUCUUUCAAAAGAACAAAAAAAAGACCUACAGAAACUGCCAUAUUCUUCGUGUGAGAGGAGAGAUCGAGAGAACGUGGGAUGGUGCAAAAAAUGUUGUAUAAAUCUACUGUGAUUUUGACCAAAGCUUUGGUAGCAUUGAUUGAGUUCAAGUACUGGAGAGAACCUGAGUUUAAAGGUUAGUAACUCUAUUUUUUUAGUGAUUUCCGCAAGCAUUUUCUGAUAAAAAAAUUUUCCAUAUUGAGUGAUCGUUGUGAAAAAUUAAGUUUUUCAAGUCUAUUUUUGAAAAUGACAAACUAUGUUUAAUUAUUGGUGGAUUCUUUUUUUGUUCAAUAUUGUAUUUUGUUAAUUUGUUGUUUUUAAUUUGCUCUUUAUGUAAUUGUUAGACCAAAUACACCAUUAUUAUACUUGUAUUCAUUUCAACAAUUUGGUAUCAUUAUAUUAAUAAGAUUGAAUUCAUUGUAUUUGCUUCUUUGUUCAUGUAAAAUUGAAUUCUAUGUAUUCUUAUGAGUGAUAAUUUUUCUAUCUAUUAGACUAAAUUCACUAUAUUCACUACUUUCUUUCUUUUUGCUGGGCUAUUUUUUCUUUUUAGUUUAUAUUUUUUAUAUGUAUUAGAUUGAAUUUGCUUUUGUAUGUUUUUUUCGCCAAAUUGCAUGUAUAUUUCAUUUAGGUUGAGUUUUUUUUGUUGUUUGCUAAAUAAAAGUAUAUUGGUUUAUCCUUUUUUGAGGCAAUACUUUUGUUUAAAAUUAAUACAGGUAGCCAUGUUACCUUUUUUUCGGUUAAAAUUAAUGGGGUGAUGUAUGCGAUAGGAUAUAGGGAACCAGAGGAAUAUAAGAUUAUUAGGCUGUUUCUUGAAAUUCAAGAUGUCAUGGUUAAGCAUGGACACAUUGAAAUGGAUUUGAUUGAAAUUUUUGUUGUAUUGCCAUGGACUACAAGUAGGCAGAGGAAGCUAAUUUCAAACGAUAGUGAAUUGUAUUGGGUUUUCGAGGAGUUUUUUUUAUCAAUAGUUGUCCUGUCAUUGAGUUUGAGGUGCACACUGGGUCAGGUGGUCAGUCAUUUCAUGAAAGUGUUGUAAUAGGACCUGAAAAUCCUGUCAAUAUUAAAAAUUAGCGUUGUAAUAGUGAUAAGUUUGAAAAUCCUGUGGCUAAAAAGGGUUUGCCUAGAAUAAUUGGUUCUUCUUUAUUUGCCUCAAAGUCCAACACUAUGAAAUCCACUAGGAAAAAGAAUUUUAUCCACUUUAACCAGCACGUCUUCAAUCUUACCUUCAGGAUAAGCAUGAGAUCUAGCAGCACAUUGCAAUGUCACUGUGGCUGGUCUGACUUCUCCAACUCCCAAUUGCUUGAAUUCUAAUAAUGUCAUAAGAUUGAUGCUUGGUCCCAAAUAGGGAUGACAAUUGUACCCGCAAACCCCGCCAAACCCACCUGCCAAAACCCGCCCGUUGCGGGUAAUUUUACCCAUUGCGGGCGGGUUUUAGUAUUAUAAAUUAAACCCGCGCAUGGAUGUGGGGUGGGUUUUGGUAUUAACCUUAUAAUCCGGUGGAUACCCGCAUGGAUAUCCACCAAACCCGCAAUAUUUUUUUUCAAAUAUUUUUAAUUUAAUUUAAAUAUAAAAAUGUAUAAAGAAAAUAAUGUCAUUAAUCAAAUUACCAAAUAGACAAAGGCUCAAAGUUGUGUAUGUGUGUAUGUGGCCCAUCUCUUAUUCUAAAGUCAUAACCUAAAGAAAACUAAAGGCAUUUCCCUUCGAAUUAGUAUUUGAAAAAUAUUAAUCUUAAUUAUUAUUAUAGGCAUUGUGUUGGAUGGGUGCUUAUGGUGGUGAAAUGAAAUGAAUAUCUUCUCUUGGAUCUUGUUUUAAAAUGAUAAUAUGAAAUGUAAUUAUUAUUUUUAGAUACUAGUUUGUGUUUUUAAAAUGGAUUUGUGUAAUUUAUACUUAAAUUUGAGAAUUUGUAUUGAAUUGAUGUGGAAAUUUUAAUUUUUCAUUGACAUUGUUUAAAUAUAAAAUUGAGUAUGCUAUUUGGAAUUUGAGGUUAUUAUUAUAAAUUUAUAUAUUAAAUAUUUGUGAUUUUAAAUACGAAAACCCGCAAAAAUCUGCCGGAUACUAUUGCGGGUUGGUAAUUAUUAAAACCCGCUGCGGGUGGGUUUUAAAAAAAAAUUAAAACCCGCGGCGGGUUGCGGGUGGGUUUGGUAAUUUAAAUUUUGUGCGGGUUUGGGUUUGAUAAUGGCAAAUCCGCUGCGGGCGGUGCCCAUUGCCAUCCCUAGUCCCAAAUCACAAAGUGUCUUGCCACUGUAUUUAGUUCCUAUGGAACAACGAAUUGUGAAACUUCCUGGAUCAUUCAACUUCUGAGGCAUUUUACUCUGAAGCAUAUGGCUGAAUUCUUGUGUUAGACCAACUAUUUCAAAUUCUCCGAGCCUCAUUUUCCUUGCCAAUAUACAUUUCCAAAACUUUACAUAAUUUGGCAUUUGUUCUAAUGCUUCCACAAAAGGAAUGUUGAUAUGCAGUUAUUUCAAUACUUCCAAGAAUUUACUGAACUGCUUGUCUUGCUUUCGCUUUUGAAAUCUUCGUGGGAAGGAUGGUGAUGUGUAAAUUGUUGUACUGCAGCAGACUAUACAUAUUGCUUUUCUCUUGCUCUAUUAUGGUAUGUUAUUGUUGGUGCUGCAGCUUCUUCCUCAACAAGCACUGAAUCAUGUUUUUUUUGCAGUUGCUAUAACUUAGCAACUCUCACCAGUGUGCUGGAAAAUGGGUUGUUGUGUCUCUUCUUUAAUUUGAGUUUCCCCUUGGGUUGAAUUAGGUUCCACUCUUCUUUUUAGUACUUUAACAAGUAUAUGAACAUCCUUUCCAGACCUUAAGUUAAUCCCCUUACAAUGCUCUUUUCCUUCUCUUUCGAUCCUCUGUAUUGUUUAGUAAAUUGUCCUAAGGUAUGUUGCUCAAUGUUGUAGCAAGCUGUCCAAUCUUAUUCUCCAAGUUUCUUAAAAAUACAGCUUGGCUUUAGACCACUACUUCAAUCUUCACAAUAUACUCCUUAAUCAGAGUUUCAAUGGAACUAAAUUGAUCAUUACUGGUGUUUCUUUACCCUUAAAAUUUCUGGUGAAAAUCAGGUGGCUGAGCAAGUCAGUUCUGUCCACUGGAUGCUGCAGCAUGCUGAUUCUGAUUGCUCCUUUUAAAAUUUGGGUGAUGUCUCCAUCCUAGGUUAUAGGUGUUUGAAAAUGGAUUGCUUUGAUUUUGUUUAUUAAAAUUGCCCACAUAAUUGACGGAAGCUGAAUUCCUAGGACAAUUAUCAUAUAGAUGUCCCUCUCCAUAAUAAACACAAGAGACUUCAGCAAUUUGGUUAACUGUUGUUGGAGCAGUGGCCGUUGCUUUUACCAUAUUUUGUCAAUGAGGUUACUUGGGCUGAUAAUGUUGUCAGUGCAUCCACAUUGUGUACUCCUGCUGCUCCUCUCACUAUGGCUUGUCUAGUUGAUGGCCAUUGAUAGUUAUCCUUUCUAAAAUUUCAUAAGCCUCAUUAUAUGAGUUAGACAAUAAAGCCCCUAGUUAUUGAGUUCAACCCAUUGUAGAAAGUUUCCAAUUGUAUGCAAUAAGGAAUACCAUGAUGAGGGCAUCUCCUGAGUAACUCCUUGAAUCUUUCUCAUGCAUCAUACAAGCUUUCAUCUUCAAGUUGAUGGAAAGAUGUGAUCUCAUUCUUCAACUUUGCAUUCUUUGUUGGUGGGAAAUAUUUCAUCAAAAUUUUGUCAGCCAAAUAAUUUCAUGUGGUGAUGGAGUCUGGUUGUAAAGAACUCCACUGUACCAACUAAAAUUGAUUUCACAAAACACAAUAAGCACCAAUCCCUGGCAACGGCGCAAAAAACUUGUUGUCGAUUUUCUAAUGCUAUUAGUGUCAAUGUGAAAAUGUACACAACAAGUAAUAUAACGAUAAGUAUUCACUCCACAAGGAUUAUUAUUAGGAAUUGCUACAGUAAUUCUAUCAGUGCCAUUCUUAUUAUAAAUUAGAAUUUAAACAAAUUAUUCAACUAANAGAAAAUCUAGAUUUUAGUAAGGAAUAUCAAGUUAUUUAUACAAUGAAAAUUGUUAAAACUCGAUUAAUUGCAAGGAAACACUUUUAGAGAGAUAUGGAGAGAAUAAACUUUGAAGAUAACAAUGAAAUACAUGACACAUUUAAGGAAGAAAAUAUAAUAGUAUUAAUAGAAUCUAUUUUAACCGGUCUUAAGAUAAUUCAAGAUUGAUGCAAAAUAAAUAACAGGACUCUAAACCGUCCAUAAUAAGUCUAUUGAUUAAUAAUAACAAUAAUAGUGAUGUGAAAUUUUUAUUCAGAAUGCUCAAUUUAGAUUAUAAUAUCUAUGUGAAAGCAUUGAUGGCAUGUACCUUGGUUAGGAAAAUAGAUUGGACACAUGGAUAUAUAUGUUGGAAGAACAAAUCUAGUUUAUAUCUCAAGAGAGAUAAUAAAUUAUAAAUGACGGUGCUAUAGUAUAUUCAGAUUUUAUAAAUCUUAUAAAUUUAAUAAUCAUUUAGAUCUUCAUAAUAUUAUAAUAAAACUUUAAAAAACUUUAAAAAUAUAUGUAGAAGAGAUGGAAGAAGAAAUCAUCCAAUUAUUCAAAAUCAAUUAAACAAAAAUAGAAGGUAAAAUCCUUGAAUUAUAUAAAUUAUACAAUUUCACAGAAAUUUGCAUAUAUUGCGAAACGGUCCUUGUGGCACUAAUUAUGGGACUAGUGUAGCAUAAAUACUAAUAUUGCUUUUUAUUUUGUAAAUUAAUUGUUGCGUCAUAAUUUUUUUACAUACACAUUUUAUGUUUUAAAUAUGAUUUUUUUUUUGUAUUUAGGGUUAAUUUACAAUUUCAUACUUUGUUCAAUUAUAUGUACAGGUCCUUCACGUGUUGGUUGAUGUUGAAUAUUCAAAGAUCCACAAGCUAUCAACGACAACGAAUCAAAUUAAACUAAUUAGUUAAUACAUAAUGACUGGGUUGUUUCCUAUGUUGUUAAUGAUGUAUAACGUUAUUUUAGGAUUUUAGAAUUUUAAUUUUUAGGUCUUCUGAUAUUUUCUUUUUUAAUUAAAUUAGUGUCUUAGUUUUUUAUUUAUUUAUGUUAUAAUUAUAAUUUACUUUCUCUUUUUAAGUUAACUUAGGAAAAUAUAUUUACUGUAUUAUAAAUAAAGAGAUCUUGUUAUUACUUUAUAACUUCAACUUCAGUUAUUCAAUUAAAACCCCUCUUUUAUAAUUUCCUUUUGUAUUAUCUAUUUAAAACCCUCUUUUUAAAGUUGUUUGAUUAGAGCAUCAUCUAGCCUUGCUUAACGCAGUAUAAAAAAUCCCUUUGAGUUUAAUCACACGUCGAUUAGAGCGUAACUUAAUCGCAUUGACUUGGUCCAUGACUUGAACGAUAUCUAGUGUUUUGCUUCCGCUAUGCCCAAGGAGAAAAUUAAUUUCACCGUGAGAUAAGAGCAUUAAAAGGAAUUCAUAAGAAAUUUAAAUUAAAGCUAUAUAUGUUAAAUAUAUCGCUAGCUACUUGUUUUUGGAGGAAUUAAAACAAUUAAUAAGCUGCGAAGUGAAAAUGAAUAAAUAAAUGAAAUGAGGUUGAAAAUAAGUCUCGCCGCCUGGAUCCAAGGCCAAAACAUUCAUGAUAAGUUAGGUAAUUAAGUACAUGUUUUCAAGCUCUUCAUGAAGAAUAACGUUAUUGAAAUAAAUCACAAAGACUCCCUGCGCAAAUUAUUACAUUGAUUAAAAAAAAAAGCCAUAUCUUUAACAGGAUCGUGACUCUCGGACUGUUAAUUACUUUAUUCCCUGCUUGGCCAACAGCUGGCCACUAAACAAAAUCAUAAAAAUUUUAAAUUUAGUCAAAUUGGUCCCACUUGAUGACAUCCUUUUCAUACAUAAAAUUGUUAACGUCAAGGUUAAAUAUGAGAAGUUUGGUAGAGAAGGUAAAAAGGAAGUCUAUAUAAGGAGGGGAACGAGCUUUGUUUAUAGCACAAGUGAAACUCCACUUUAUUGAACGAUGGGGUCUCAAAUGGGCUGCCUCUUUGCCACUCUUUUGGUAGUAUCAGUCUCUCUUAGCUACUUGCCGUUAGAAGCCUCCGCAAACAAAUACUACUACACAUCUCCUCCCCCUCCCAAGUACAAGUCUCCACCACCACCCCGCCACCGGUUCACAAUUCUCCACCACCACCCCCGGUUUACCUGCCCCCGCCACCUCCUCCACCAGUCUACGUGCCUGCUCCGGCACCAACUCCAAUUUUCCCUUCUCCGCCACCUCCUGUCCCCAAGUCCCCACCACCACCUCACCCUUACGUCUAUGCAUCUCCCCCUCCUCCUUACUACUACUAGAAAGCGGCCAUGAAUAGCUCAUGCUUUUAUGGUAAUCUCAUUUAUUUUUAAAACUGUACAUGUAAAGACUAGUAGUUCAGAAUUACAUUAAGCAUUUCAAUUUUUAAGCACCGUGUUCUGUUUAAUUGCGUUCCUAUUGAUUAAGUGACAAAUAAAAGAGAUUGAUUAAUUUGUUCUUGUAGGAGAGGCGAAUGGUAUCCGAAUAAGAAAGCAAGGGUUUGAUGGAAGGCUUUACUUGGAGCAAGAUAGCGAUCAAUCGAGUUGCUGCGUUUUAUUCUCUUUUAUCUUUGUUUUUUAAGAAAAUAAACUGCCACACGUAGAAACAGAAAAUUAAGUUCUUGUCAUUUUCAUGCAUAUGGAUUGUUGCUGUGUGUGUCAAUCAAAUCUCCGUUGUGUCAUUUGUAAUUUUCAACCUUUAUGCAUGCAAAUGCGAGACCUCUUACGUAUAAUAAAAUUAAUAUACUUCCCAAGAUGGUCUUAUCUUGCGUUGACUUUUUACGUUCCUUUUGUGAUGAUUUUGACGUUUGAAAUUGAUGACUAAUUGACUAUUGUUUUUGUAAACUCUGACAUGGAUUUUUUCGUGCAACUACAGAGCGCAUUAACGAGAGACUUAUCCAUGAGGGUCCAUGCAGAUCAGUGUCUAAUUAACCAAUAAUUAAUAUAACUAAAAAAAUAUAGAGUUAACUUUUUUAUGGGUCAGGCUCAAUUGCAGAUGUUCGUACAAAAUUUCUUGCUAAUGUAUACUUGAGUAUGAUAAUAAGUUUUAAUCAUUAUUAAUAAUUCACUUGAUAAUAUUAAACAAAUUUUCAUAUCAAUUAAGUUACAAAAUUUCUGUGACAAAUUUCCGCGUACUGGAACCAUGCAAAAGGGCUUUAUUCAAACAAAACUGCAUAGCCGUUUGGCAAUUAAAAUUAUUUAUCAAUUAAGUUAAGUAGUAAGAAUUGGAUUGUGGAUUCCAUUAAUUAUUUCAAGGAAAAUUUUAUAGAUAAUGCCGUAAUGAAAUUUACGGCAUCAAUACCAUGAUAAAUAUAAAUAUUGUAAAUUACAAAUAGAAUUAGUAAAUGUAAAGUAAACCAGUAAAUUCAUAAAAGAUUAUUAAUUAUUUAAAAAAUUAACAUUGUUUCUACAUAAUUUUAGUGAAAAAUAUUUUAUUCAUUUACAAAAACAUUUCUUUAAUUAAACAAAAAAAUUCAUUAAUUAAGCAAAAAAAUUAUACUGAAAAAAAAGUGGAAUAAGUUUAAUUGAAUUGGUUAUCAUAAAUUCUAUAUUUAGUCUAGGACAUUUUUAUACAUUUUCUUCCCAUUUUCGAUAAUGAUAUCUAUUUGUUACACAUGUUAAUUAAGUGCAAUUAUUUAUCUUGAUGUGGAUCAAGUAAAAAAAUAUCAUAAAUAAGAUAUCAAUAAAAUUAGAUCUAAUUUUGAAUAUUAUGUAUACUUUAUGUAGUUUCAAACUUUUUACUUGUAUUUGGAGACCAUUUAAGGUUGUUGUUGAAGAAGUGUAGAAAGAUGUAAAAUAACUUCAUCUUACAACAACUAUGAAAGAUAUUAAAAUAAUAAUUUUUUCAAAAUCCGAUUUUGAGAAAAAAAUUCAUCCUUAAUUAAACAUCACAUGUAUUAUAGAAAUGCAAAACUACCAUUGUUAUAUUUAACUUAAAAAAUAAAAAUAUAUAAGGUAAUAAACAUUAUAAAGAGUUUUUAUUUUAAAAUUGUAAACUUUUGUUUCUGACAAUAACUCUUAUAUUAAUUUAUUUAUUUUGCCUUUUAUUCAUAAGUUUUAUGCAUAAUUUACAAACUUUAAGUUUUAUUUUGCAUUUUAUGUUGAUUUGGUUUUUUUAUAUUAUACGUACAAGUUUUUUUUUAUUUACCAGUAAUACAUCAAUUUAUCAGCUUGAUAGUAAUUUACUUAUUUUACCUUCCUUUUACAAUUCUUAUGUUUCAUUUCCAAAAUUUAUGUUUUAUUUUACAGUUGUUGAUGAUUUACUAGUUUUAUGUUAUGUUUGCAAGUUUUUGUUUUGUUUACUAGUAAUAGAUUAAUGGGUAAUUUUUAAUUGAGUCCUCAUUAGUUCUAGAAAAACAAUUCAGAGACCAGAAGUUUACUAAAUGAAUCAAUUAAAUUCUUUCAAGUACAAACUAAUGUCAUUCAAGUCCUUAACUUAAUUGGUCAGUUAAAAAUAUUAACAACGUUGAGGACAUUUUAGUAAAACAACAAUUGAGUCGUUUCUCAUUCUUUAUUUUUGACAGGUGGAAAUAGUUUAAAGUAAACUCACUUAACCUGAUUAAGUUAAGGAUCAGUUCUUUCAAAUGAAAAAAAAAAAAAAAACCUACAGAAACUGCCAUAUUCUUCGUGUGGGAGGAGAGAUCGAGAGAACGUGGGAUGGUGCAAAAAAUGUUGUAUAAAUCUACUGUGAUUUUGACCAAAGCUUUGGUAGCAUUGAUUGAGUUCAAGUACUGGAGAGAACCUGAGUUUAAAGGUUAGUAACUCUAUUUUUUUAGUGAUUUCUGCAAGCAUUUUCUGAUAAAAAAUUUUCCGUAUUGAGUGAUCGUUGUGAAAAAUUAAGUUUUUCAAGUCUAUUUUACAAAAUGACAAACUAUGUUUAAUUAUUGGUGGAUUCUUUUUUUUGUUCAAUGUUGUAUUUUGUUAAUUUGUUGUUUUUAAUUUGCUCUUAAUGUAAUUGUUAGACCAAAUACACCAUUAUUAUACCUGUAUUCAUUUCAACAAUUUGGUAUCGUUAUAUUAAUAAGAUUGAAUUCAUUGUAUUUGCUUCUUUGUUCAUGUAAAAUUGAAUUCUAUGUAUUCUUAUGAGUGAUAAUUUUUCUAUCUAUUAGACUAAAUUCACUAUAUUCACUACUUUCUUUCUUUUUGCUGGGCUAUUUUUUCUUUUUAGUUAUAUUUUUUAUAUGUAUUAGAUUGAAUUUGCUUUUGUACGUUUUUUUAGCCGAAUUACAUGUAUAUUUCAUUUAGGUUGAGUUUUUUUUGUUGUUUGCUAAAUAAAAUUAUAUUGGUUUAUCCCUUUUUUAUGCAAUACUUUUUGUUUAAAAUUAAUACAGUUAGCCAUGUUACCUUUUUUUUCGGUUAAAAUUAAUGGGGUGAUGUAGGCGAUAGGAUAUAGGGAACCAGAGGAAUAUAAGAUUAUUAGGCUGUUUCUUGAAAUUCAAGAUGUCAUGGUUAAGCAUGGACACAGUGAAAUGGAUUUGAUUGAAAUUUUUGUUGUAUUGCCAUGGACUACAAGUGGCCAGAGGAAGCUAAUUUCAAACGAUAGUGAAUUGUAUUGGGUUUUCGAGGAGUUUUUUUUAAUCAAUAGUUGUCCUGUCAUUGAGUUUGAGGUGCACACUGGGUCAGGUGGUCAGUCAUUUCAUGAAAGUGUUGUAAUAGGACCUGAAAAUCCUGUCAAUAUUAAAAAUUAGUGUUGUAAUAGUGAUAAGUUUGAAAAUGUUGUGGCUAAAAAGGUCUGCCUAGAAUAAUUGGUACUUCUUUAUUUGCCUCAAAGUCCAACACUAUGAAAUCCACAAGGAAAAAGAAUUUAUCCACUUUAACCAGCACGUCUUCAAUCUUGCCUUCAGGAUAAGCAUGAGAUCUGGCAGCACAUUGCAAUGUCACUGUGGUUGGUUUGACUUCUCCAACUCCCAAUUGCUUGAAUUCUGAUAAUGUCAUAAGAUUGAUGCUUGCUCCCAAACCACAAAGUGUCUUGCCACUGUAUUUAGUUCCUAUGGAACAAUGAAUUGUGAAACUUCCUGGAUCCUUCAACUUCUGAGGCAUUUUACUCUGAAGCAUAUGGCUGCAUUCUUGUGUUAGACCAACUAUUUCAAAUUCUCCGAGCCUCAUUUUCCUUGCCAAUAUACAUUUCCAAAACUUUACAUAAUUUGGCAUUUGUUCUAAUGCUUCCACAAAAGAAAUGUUGAUAUGCAGUUCUUUCCAUACUUCCAAGAAUUUACUGAACUGCAUGUCUUGCUUUCGCUUUUGAAAUCUUGUGGGAAGGGUGGUGGAAUGUGUAAAUUGUUGUACUGCAGCAGACUAUACAUAUUGCUUUUCUCUUGCUCUAUUAUGGUAUGUUAUUAUUGGUGUUGCAGCUUCUUCUCAACAAGCAUUGAAUCAUGUUUUUUGCAGUUGCUAUAACUUAGCAACUUCUCACCAGUGUGCUGGAAAAUGGGUUGUUGUGUCUCUUCUUUAAUUUGAGUUUCCCCUUGGUUGAAUUAGGUUCCACUCUUCUUUUGGUACUUUAACAAGUAUAUGAACAUCCUUUCCAAACCUUAAGUUAAUCCCUUACAAUGCUCUUUUCCUUCUCUCUUUCGAUCCUCUGUAUUGUUUAGUAAAUUGUCCUGAGGUAUGUUGCUCAAUUUUGUAGCAAGCUGUCCAAUCUUAUUCUCCAAGUUUCUUAAAAAUACAGCUUGGCUUUAGGACCACUACUCCAAUCUUUACAAUAUACUCCUUAAUCAGAGUUUCAAUGGAACUAAAUUGAUCAUUACUGGUGUUUCUUUACCCUUCAAAUUUCUGUUGAAAUCAGGUGGCUGAGCAGUCUGUUCUGUCCACUGGAUGCUGCAGCAUGCUGAUUCUGAUUGCUCCUUUUUAAAAUUUGGGUGAUGUCUCCAUCCUAGGUUAUAGGUGUUUUGAAAAUGGAUUGCUUUGAUUUUGUUUAUUAAAUUGCCCACAUAAUUGACGGAAGCUGAAUUCCUAGGACAAUUAUGAUAUAGAUGUCCCUCUCCAUAAUAAACACAGAGACUUCAGCAAUUUGGUUAACUGUUGCCGGAGCAGUGGCCGUUGCUUUUACCAUAUUUUGUCAAUGAGGUUACUUGGGCUGAUAAUGUUGUCAGUGCAUCCACAUUUGUGUACUCCUGCUGCUCCUCUCACUGUGGCUUGUCUAGUUGAUGGCCAUUGAUAGUUAUCCUUUUCUAAAAUUUCAUAAGCCUCAUUAUAUGAGUUAGACAAUAAAGCCCCUAGUUAUUGAGUUCAACCCAUUGUAGAAAGUUUCCAAUUGUAUGCAAUAAGGGAAUACCAUGAUGAGGGCAUCUCCUGAGUAACCCUUGAAUCUUUUCUCAUGCAUCAUACAAGCUUUCAUCUUCAAGUUGAUGGAAAGAUGUGAUCUCAUUCUUCAACUUUGCAUUCUUUGUUGGUGGGAAAUAUUUCAUCAAAAGUUUGUCAGCCAAAUAAUUCCAUGUGGUGAUGGAGUCUGGUUGCAAAGAACUCCACUGUACCAACUAAAAUUGAUUUUCACAAAACACAAUAAGCACCAAUCCCCGGCAACGGCGCAAAAAACUUGUUGUCGAUUUUCUAAUGCUAUUAGUGUCAAUGUGAAAAUGUACACAACAAGUAAUAUAACGAUAGUAUUCACUCCACAAGGAUUAUUAUUAUAGGAAUUGCUACAGUAAUUCUAUCAGUGCCAUUCUUAUUAUAAAUUAGAAUUUAAACAAUUAUUCAACUAAUGAACUAAGGCAGAUCUUAUUGGGCUAGUCGGCAAUGUGUUGCUUUAGGUCGUGUGGAAUAGUUGCGGGAGUGAUCUUGCAUGAUGUGUGGAGCUAUAACAGUGCUGAGCAUGGGCCAAUCUAUGGGCUCAUGGAACUAGCGAACCUAAUCUAGAAUUUCGAGGAAGAGUACUCUGGUUAGUACUCUAAAUUACCUUAUUAUAUUUUGCACAAACAGAGGCAUGUUAGUGAAAUAAUAUCUAAGCAACCCAAGAGGGGGGUGAAUUGGGUUUCUAAAAUUAUGCAAUUCUUAACAAAACUUAAUGCAAAUCUUAAACGAAUUUAAAGCAAUAAUACAUAAAUCAACAAGGUAUAAAAAGAUAAGGGAAGAGAGAUUAAAACACAGAGAGUUUUACGUGGUUCGGCCAACCUUGCCUACAUCCACACCCCAAGCACACCGAGCUUGGGCAUUCCACUAGUCAAGCCUUCAAGGCUUCAAGAACACUUACAAUUGACUUCUUAGGUGUCAAUCAACCUUUACAUCUAGAGAUUAUCCCCAAUCUCUUAACCCAAGUGUAUCCCAAUAUUUACAAUCACUCAAAUAAAGAUUACAAUUUAUUUUUCUCUCACACAAUUUUUUAAGAUUACAAAUCAACGCUUAAUGUGUGAAUAAAUGAACAAGAAUGAAUUUGAAGCUCAAUGAAUGUUGUAUUCUCGAUUAUAAGCUCAAUGAUAACGUUGUGAUAAGCUCUUGUUUGAAUUUGAUUGAUCUUAUUUAUAGUUGGAGUUGAAAAAUAGCCAUUGUUGACUUUUUCCCGAAAUUGGAUCGCCGUUAACCGUUAUCGGUUAACCGUUUUGACUGGUCAAGUGACCGUUGAGCUGAAUUUCAAAAUAAACGGUUGAUCUUUUGACACUAUCGGUUUGCUGUUAAUUUCCAUAAACCUGUAAAACAAAUUUAUGCUAUUCGUUCUUGCUAAACGGUUGAAGGUCAGCAUGGAAUGACAUUCUAGAAAUUAUUGGUUGGCCGUUUGAAGUUCACGGUUCACCGUUUACUUCUAGAAUCACAGUUUUAACCAAAUUUCGCAGGGAAUGCUUUUUCGGUUAAAGUUAACGAUUAUCCAUAUUUCAUGAACACAUUUAGAAAAAUCAUACGACUUUUGAGAAAUUGUUUAGUAAUGAAAACUCUAACAUUUUAAUCAAAUACAUUUAAAGUUUGUUAUCAUCAAAAUCAAUAUAAUGAACAUCUACAUGUUAACAGUUAGGCCUUGAUUAUUUUUUAAAUCUUAUAAGAUAUAGAGUGAUAAUAGUAACUCAAUUUUCAUAAAACGUGGAAAGAUCAGUCGCCAAAUUUAUAGAUGCCAUAGAAAACCUAGAUUUAGUAAGGAAUAUCAAGUUAUUUAUACAAUGAAAUUGUUAAAACUCGAUUAAUUGCAAGGAAACACUUUUAGAGAGAUAUGGAGAGAAUAAACUUUGAAGAUAACAAUGAAAUACAUGACACAUUUAAGGAAGAAAAUAUAAUAGUAUUAAUAGAAUCUAUUUUAACCGGUCUUAAGAUAAUUCAGAUUGAUGCAAAAUAAAUAACAGGACUCUAAACCGUCCAUAAUAAGUCUAUUGAUUAAUAAUAACAAUAAUAGUGAUGUGAAAUUUUUAUUCAGAAUGCUCAAUUUAGAUUAUAAUAUCUAUGUGAAAGCAUUGAUGGCAUGUACCUUGGUUAGGAAAAUAGAUUGGACACAUGGAUAUAUAUGUUGGAAGAACAAAUCUAGUUUAUAUCUCAAGAGAGAUAAUAAAUUAUAAAUGACGGUGCUAUAGUAUAUUCAGAUUUUAUAAAUCUUUAUAAAUUUAAUAAUCAUUUAGAUCUUCAUAAUAUUAUAAUAAAACUUUAAAAAACUUUAAAAAUAUAUGUAGAAGAGAUGGAAGAAGAAAUCAUCCAAUUAUUCAAAAUCAAUUAAACAAAAAUAGAAGGUAAAAUCCUUGAAUUAUAUAAAUUAUACAAUUUCACAGAAAUUUUGCAUAUAUUGCGAAACGGUCCUUGUGGCACUAAUUAUGGGACUAGUGUAGCAUAAAUACUAAUAUUGCUUUUUAUUUUGUAAAUUAAUUGUUGCGUCAUAAUUUUUUUACAUACACAUUUUAUGUUUUAAAAUAUGAUUUUUUUUUUGUAUUUAGGGUUAAUUUUACAAUUUCAUACUUUGUUCAAUUAUAUGUACAGGUCCUUCACGUGUUGGUUGAUGUUGAAUAUUCAAAGAUCCACAAGCUAUCAACGACAACGAAUCAAAUUAAACUAAUUAGUUAAUACAUAAUGACUGGGUUGUUUCCUAUGUUGUUAAUGAUGUAGAACGUUAUUUUAGGAUUUUAGAAUUUUAAUUUUUAGGUCUUCUGAUAUUUUCUUUUUUAAUUAAAGUUAGUGUCUUAGUUUUUUAUUUAUUUAUGUUAUAAUUAUAAUUUACUUUCUCUUUUUAAGUUAACUUAGGAAAAUAUAUUUACUGUAUUAUAAAUAAAGAGAUCUUGUUAUUACUUUAUAACUUCAACUUCAGUUAUUCAAUUAAAAACCCCUCUUUUAUAAUUUCCUUUUGUAUUAUCUAUUAAAAACCCCUCUUUUAAGUUGUUUGAUUAGAGCAUCAUCUAGCCUUGCUUAACGCAGUAUAAAAAAUCCCUUUGAGUUUAAUCACACGUCGAUUAGAGCGUAACUUAAUCGCAUUGACUUGGUCCAUGACUUGAACGAUAUCUAGUGUUUUGCUUCCGCUAUGCCCAAGGAGAAAAUUAAUUUCACCGUGAGAUAAGAGCAUUAAAAGGAAUUCAUAAGAAAUUUAAAUUAAAGCUAUAUAUGUUAAAUAUAUCGCUAGCUACUUGUUUUUGGAGGAAUUAAAACAAUUAAUAAGCUGCGAAGUGAAAAUGAAUAAAUAAAUGAAAUGAGGUUGAAAAUAAGUCUCGCCGCCUGGAUCCAAGGCCAAAACAUUCAUGAUAAGUUAGGUAAUUAAGUACAUGUUUUCAAGCUCUUCAUGAAGAAUAACGUUAUUGAAAUAAAUCACAAAGACUCCCUGCGCAAAUUAUUACAUUGAUUAAAAAAAAAAGCCAUAUCUUUAACAGGAUCGUGACUCUCGGACUGUUAAUUACUUUAUUCCCUGCUUGGCCAACAGCUGGCCACUAAACAAAAUCAUAAAAAUUUUAAAUUUAGUCAAAUUGGUCCCACUUGAUGACAUCCUUUUCAUACAUAAAAUUGUUAACGUCAAGGUUAAAUAUGAGAAGUUUGGUAGAGAAGGUAAAAAGGAAGUCUAUAUAAGGAGGGGAACGAGCUUUGUUUUAUAGCACAAGUGAAACUCCACUUUAUUGAACGAUGGGGUCUCAAAUGGGCUGCCUCUUUGCCACUCUUUUGGUAGUAUCAGUCUCUCUUAGCUACUUGCCGUUAGAAGCCUCCGCAAACAAAUACUACUACACAUCUCCUCCCCCUCCCAAGUACAAGUCUCCACCACCACCCCCGCCACCGGUUCACAAUUCUCCACCACCACCCCCGGUUUACCUGCCCCCGCCACCUCCUCCACCAGUCUACGUGCCUGCUCCGGCACCAACUCCAAUUUUCCCUUCUCCGCCACCUCCUGUCCCCAAGUCCCCACCACCACCUCACCCUUACGUCUAUGCAUCUCCCCCUCCUCCUUACUACUACUAGAAAGCGGCCAUGAAUAGCUCAUGCUUUUAUGGUAAUCUCAUUUAUUUUUAAAACUGUACAUGUAAAGACUAGUAGUUCAGAAUUACAUUAAGCAUUUCAAUUUUAAGCACCGUGUUCUGUUUAAUUGCGUUCCUAUUGAUUAAGUGACAAAUAAAAGAGAUUGAUUAAUUUGUUCUUGUAGGAGAGGCGAAUGGUAUCCGAAUAAAGAAAGCAAGGGUUUGAUGGAAGGCUUACUUGGAGCAAGAUAGCGAUCAAUCGAGUUGCUGCGUUUUAUUCUCUUUUAUCUUUGUUUUUUAAGAAAAAUAAACUGCCACACGUAGAAACAGAAAAUUAAGUUCUUGUCAUUUUCAUGCAUAUGGAUUGUUGCUGUGUGUGUCAAUCAAAUCUCCGUUGUGUCAUUUGUAAUUUUCAACCUUUAUGCAUGCAAAUGCGAGACCUCUUACGUAUAAUAAAAUUAAUAUACUUCCCAAGAUGGUCUUAUCUUGCGUUGACUUUUUACGUUCCUUUGGUGAUGAUUUUGACGUUUGAAAUUGAUGACUA